UCAGCUUCAUCGCCUUCAAGCCACCGGGCUGCGAGGAGUCCGGCAAGGCCUAAACAGCUCACUCACGACAGGCCAUAUAUAAAGUGCCAUUGCAGUUUUGUCAACUCUGACAUUGCUUUGGGUUUUCCUUCUCCAUUUAUCUUUCUUAUUUGUUCCUAAGAAUAUGUGUAUGUCCAUGUUCAUGUACCAACAUGGCUCGAGAAAGCAUGCUCGUAUGUGAAUGCUAUCGGUGGCUAUGUAUAUGCACGGACGCAUAAUAUUAUACAAUAUGUCAACUAUAUACGUUUUAAUGGUAACCAAUGGAAAAUAUCUCCACCGCCGUGCUUAUUACUUCCUUCAUCCCAAAAUAAUUGUCUUAACCUUGGUAUAACUUUAUACUAGAACUAAUUCAAAGUUAAGACACUUAUUUUGAAACAGAGUGAGUACUUUUUAUUAGUAGUCGACGGUUGGACGUUGUCUUAGUUUGUAUCCCUAAAAUGUAUGGUUGUAAACAUGGCUCCCCAGAAUGUUGGACAACAAUAUUUUAUUAGUUGUAUUUAUAAGUGCAACAUAGGACUAAAUCUCAGGCCAUAGUAUAAUUAAAGGGAAAAUGAGAAAGUUGUAUUGAAUUUGGUGCAAAGAUGAAAUUAUUACAGUGGGCUCUAAUAAUUUUUAGAGUGUGAAGCAAAUGAAGUUAGAGAAAAACAAGAUCUAUCAAAGGAAACCGGUUAUUUCAUUUAUCCGGUAAAAAGUCUAUAAUAGAAGUGUUGUAUAAAUGGUUUGUAUACUCUUGUUGUGUCUCGUAAGGCAUUGGUUGUGGUUUUCUUGCUUAUAAGCCAGAAGCCAAACCAAACAUCAAAACCGCUAAAUGUGCUUUAAUAUUAACAAGCCACCUAGAAAACUAGUGAAGUGGUGAAAUUAAUCUCAGAGAUCGUUUUGUUGCUUUUGAGGCCAGGUAUUCGAGUUUAUUCCCCAAGUUGAUAGUUAUUUAGUCACCAAUUCCUUGGGUAUGAAAAAAAAGAACCCUCCCAAUAUCUCCCAUGCAUGCCCACGUAUCGUGCCCCUAUCGCAUCUCUUGAAUGAUUAAAGUUGCGGCGGUGCUACCUUGUUUGUGGCCAUCGGUAUUCUUCCCUCGUCACCGCCUGAGCACUCGCCCGCCAUCAAUGUCAGACGUCGCCUUCAUCACACCAUCCUUCGUCAUCACCCUUUCGACUUCUUUCGCGAUGUUUCCCUAUCAUGUUAUCAUCCUCUAGACACUCGUAAGGGCUAAGGACACGAGCGCUACUUUGGGGAUCCUACUGCCAUGGGAGAUAUGAUCCUAGUAAUUGUGUGAUCACCUGAUCGUGUUGUAUCCCAUGAAGAUAGCUACCAAAUUACCGGCCCCGGUAUGCCUUUAUAAGGGCUGACAAGAGCCUCGUCGGUGGGACAAGGUCAUGGAGGAGCACAUAUCUGUAACUGUCGGCCCAGUUGAAAGAACAUGCGGUGCGCCCAUGUUUGGUUUUGGUAAUUAAUGACAAUCUCUAUGGACUAAUGGUUUCCUUGAGUUAUAUUUGAAGGAUUUGUCCAUAGGCAUUUCUUGAAGUCCAUGGGUUGGUAUCAAGGAGUUUAUGUGACCACCAAAGCGCUAUUCAAGCAAUUAUCCAAAGAUUGGUCAUGUAGAUGACAUGAUACAAGGUUAAUCAAGACCAAGUCAAAGAGUGAAUCAAGUUGAUCAACACACAAAGCAUAAAAGAUGUUCCAAGUGGGACCAACGGAUCCCAUGGUAUGGUAAGCAUUGUCCAUUACGCUUUGUAUACUAACCCAUGGUCUACAUGAGACUUCUAUGUGUGGUUAGGCAUGUUUCCAAGGGCUUGUGUCAAGAGAAAGAUCUCAUACAACCCAUGGAGGAUGACAUCAAGUGAUGAUCGUCAUUAAGAUUGCCGUGUGCAAAUUCAGUGGAGCAUCACGAAGAGAUCAUGCUUGAAGCUUGCUGCCCAUUGUGGUGACAACGGACUUGUGAAGAUGUGUGAUACGUCUCCAACGUAUCUAUAAUUUUUGAUUGUUCCAUGCUAUUAUAUUAUCUGUUUUGGAUGUUUUAUAUGCAUUAAUAUGUUAUUUUAUAUGAUUUUUCAGACAACCCUAUUAACCUAGAGCCUAGUGCCAGUUUCUGUUUUUUCCUUAUUUUAGAGUUUCGCAGAAAAGGAAUACCAAAUGGAGUCCAAACGGAAUGAAACUUUCACGAUGAUUUUUCUUGGACCAUAAGACAUCCAGAGGACUUGGAGUGCACGUCAGGGCAGCCACGAGGUGGCCACAAGGUCGGAGAGCGCGCCCCCACCCUUGUGGGCCACUCUUGACUCCAUCGACCUAUUUCUUGCGCCUAUAUAUUCUAAAAUAUUCCAAAACCUACCAGGAGAGCCACGAAAACACUUUUCCAUCGCCGUAACCUUCUGUACCCGUCAGAUCCCAUCUAGGGGCCUUUUCUGGCGUCCUGCCGAAGGGGGAUUUGAUCACGGAGAGCUUUUACAUCAACACCAUUGCCUCUCCGAUGAAGCGUGAGUAGUUUGCCAUAGACCUGCGGGUCCAUAGCUAGUAGCUAGAUGGACUCUUCUCUCUCUUUGAUUCUCAAUACCAUGUUAUCCUCGAUGUUCUUGGAGAUCUAUUCGAUGUAAUACUAUCUUUGCUGUAUGUUUGCCGAGAUCCGAUGAAUUGUGGAUUUAUGAUCAGCUUAUCUAUGAAUAUUAUUUGAAUCUUCUCUGAAUUGUUAUAUGCAUGAUUUGAUAUCUUUGCAAGUCUCUUCGAACUAUCGAUUUGGUUUGGCCAACUAGAUUGGGUUUUCUUGCAAUGGGAGAAGUGCUUAGCUUUGGGUUCAAUCUUGUGGUGUCCUUUCCCAAUGACAGUAGGGGCAGCAAGGCGCAUAUUGUAUUGUUGCCAUCGAGGAUAAUAAGAUGGGGUUUUCAUCAUAUUGUCUGAGUUUAUCCCACUACAUCAUGUCAUUUUUCUUAAAGCGUUACUCUGUUCUUAUGAAUUUAAUACUAUAGAUGCAGGCAGGAGUCGGUCGAUGUGUGGAGUAAUAGUAGUAGAUGCAGGCAGGAGUCGGUCUACUUGAUAUGGACGUGAUGCCUAUAUUCAUGAUCAUUGCCUUAGAUAUCGUCAUAACUUUGCGCUUUUCUAUCAAUUUCUCAGCAGUAAUUUGUUUACCCAUUGUAAUAAUUUCUAUCUUGAGAGAAGCCUCUAGUGAAACCUAUGGCCCCCGGGUCUAUUUUCCAUCAUAUAAGUUUCUGAUCUACAAUUUUAGUUUCCUAUUUACUUCCUUUGCAAUCUUUUACUUUCUGUUCCAUAAACCAAAAAUACCAAAAAUAUUACUUUACCGUUUAUCCAUCUCUAUCAGAUCCCACUUUGCAAAUAACCAUGAAGGGAUUGACAACCCCUUUGUCGCGUUGGGUGCAAGUUGGUGUUUGUUUGUGCAGGUAUUCGAUGACUUGUGCGUUGUCUUCUACUGGAUUAAUACCUUGGUUCUUAAAAUUGAGGGAAAUACUUACUCUACUUUGUUGCAUCACCCUUUCCUCUUCAAGGGAAAAACCAACGCAAGCUUAAGAGGUAGCAGGCAGAAUUUCUGGCGCCGUUGUUGGGGAGAUUUAGGCCAAGUCAAGUCAAGAUUUUUCUCCCGUCAACUUGCCAAUUCCUGGCACUGGUUCCGGGGAGAUCUACGCCAAGACAAGACAUACGAAGUACCCAUCAUAAACUCUCAUCCCUUGCAUUACAUUAUUCGCCAUUCGCCUCUCGUUUUCCUCUCCGCCACUUCUAAAAUGAUUUUCGAAAAGAUUUGCCCUUUUCUUCGCCCGUCUUUCGUUCGAUCUUAUGUUCGCUUGUGUUGCCAUGUGCCUUCUAUUUGCUUGCAUCUUCGCUUGCUAAAAAUCUAUCGAUAUGGAUCCUCAUCCACUUGCUAAUAUUUUUAAGAGAUCCAAUUAUGAUGAACCAGUUGCUAGUGAGUUGAGUGCACUAGCUUAUCUUUAUGAGGUUUUGCUUGAAAUUCAUGAAUCUGAAAAUUGGGAUGAAGUGUUGAAAGAAGAAAUUUAUGAAGUGAUUCACGAUAGCUCCUUGAAUGAAAAGCAUGAUUGAAAUGAUGCUAUUAUAAUUUCCAUUACUAUCAAUUGUGUUAAUGAUAUGAAAAACCCUAAGCUUGGGGAUGCUAGUUUUUCCAUGUCCACUAUUUGUUGCAAUGAUCAUGAUUGGGGUGAUUCUUCUUAUAACCUUGAAAAUUUAUUUAAGCCCCAUGAUGAAUAUGAGAUUGAUAAUAAUGUUUUCAAUAAUACUGAAAGUGGGUUUGGAAGAGUGUCAACUCUAGAUCCCACGUAUUUGGAUAAUGUUCAAUCUUAUGAAGUUUUUGAUAAAAGUGGGUUCAGAGAGGGCAUGACUUUAUUUUAUGAUAAUCCCACUAUUUUGGAAUAGUGUCAACUUUGCAUGCAUGUGGAUCAUGAAGAGAAAAUUUUAUGUGAUAGCUAUAUUGUUGAAUUUGAUUAUGAUCCUGCAUGUAAUUAUUAUGAGAGAGUAAAAUAUGGUUGUAGAAAUUCUCAUGUUAUUGAAUUACCUCUCGUUAUGUCGAGAUUGCUAUUAUUUCUUUCUUGUUCCUUGCAUAUGCUAGUUUUUGCUUACAUUGAUAAUUUGUUUGCCUAUAGGAUGCCUAUGCAUAGGAAGUAUGUUAGACUUAGAUGUAUUUUCCACAUGCUAUUUGAUGCUCUCUCCGUGUUUCAAUUGCUAUCUUUCAUGUGAGCAUCAUCGAAAUUAUCAAUGCCUAGCUAAAAGGCUUUAAAGAAAAGCGUUUAUUGGGAGACAACCCAAUAUAUUUCCUUGUUGUUUUGCAACAAAUAAUUCAUCUAGCCACUGGUUAGAUGUGGUUUGGUGUUUUAAUUAGUGUUUGUGCCAAUUAAGACCUUUGGGAUAGCUUACGGUGAUAGUUGAUUUGAUCUUGUUGAAAAACAGAAACUUUUACACUCAGGAAAACAAUUCUCAUUUUUAGCAGAAGAGUGAUAAAAUACUGAUUAUUUUUGCAGAUGAUUAAUAAAUAAAUUUCUUAGUUCUUCCUAAUUUCUCAUAAUUUUUGGAGUUACAGAAGUAUUCGAAAUCUCCAGAUUGCUACAGACUGUUCUGUUUUUAACAUAUUCUAUUUUCUAUAUGUUGUUUGCUUAUUUUGAUGAAUCUAUGGCUAGUAUCGGGUGGUAUGAACCAUGGAAAAAUUAAAAUACAGUAGAUAUUACACCAAUACAAAUAAUCAAUUAGUUCACAACAAUACCAAAAGUGGUGAUUUAUUUUCUUAUACUAACGGAGCUUAUGAGAUUUUUUGUUAAGUUUUGUGUUGUGAAGUUUUUAAGUUUUGGGUAAGGAUUUGAUGGACUAUGGAAUAAGGAGUUGCAAGAGCCUAAGCUUAGGGAUUUUGUAACAUCCCAAAUUUUCAAUUUGGAAUGUUAUACAUUAGAUCAUCAUUGCAUAUCAUAUUUUAUUGCAUUUUGGCUAGAUCCUAAAAAUCCUACGCAACUCAAGGACCCAUGGAGAGAGUUGAGGAUUUCGUUAUUUUCAUAUUUGGGUUUUCUCAAAUUUUGAAAAUAGGAUCAUUUGAUUUGAUUUAUUUUAUCUUCAGUUAUUUCAAUUAUAAAAAUAAGAGAGAGGGAAUAAAAUGGCUUUCCCAAAAUAAAGAAAUAUUGAGGAUUUAAUAAAAAAAAUCAAAUAAGAUUUUAUUUCGGAGUUUUCUCGCUAUUUUAUUUGAAUUAGGAAAAAAAUACGCGUUUUUCAAAAUUGCGUUUAGGCCCCAAAUAAAUGUUCAUCUUGGCCGGCUUGAUUUUAGAAGUCGGGGAAAAUUUAUUUCAGGAUUUUUGGAGUCCGUUUAGUAUUUCUUUUAUUUGUUUUUCUGUGCAAAAUUAUUAUAAAAAAACAAACGAACCGACCUAACCGGGCCGUGUCCAACUAGGACUCUGGCCCGGCCGGCCCUUAUAAGCCGGGGAGGCCACCCCGUAGCCCAGCCCGAACCGCCCCGCCGCCCCAAACCCUAGCGCCGCAGCCCGUCGCCCGCCGCUGCCACCCGUCGUCCCGCCAUCGCCCACCGCCGCCGCCCGUCGUCCCGCCGUCGUCCGUCGCCNNNNNNNNNNNNNNNNNNNNNNNNNNNNNNNNNNNNNNNNNNNNNNNNNNNNNNNNNNNNNNNNNNNNNNNNNNNNNNNNNNNNNNNNNNNNNNNNNNNNNNNNNNNNNNNNNNNNNNNNNNNNNNNNNNNNNNNNNNNNNNNNNNNNNNNNNNNNNNNNNNNNNNNNNNNNNNNNNNNNNNNNNNNNNNNNNNNNNNNNNNNNNNNNNNNNNNNNNNNNNNNNNNNNNNNNNNNNNNNNNNNNNNNNNNNNNNNNNNNNNNNNNNNNNNNNNNNNNNNNNNNNNNNNNNNNNNNNNNNNNNNNNNNNNNNNNNNNNNNNNNNNNNNNNNNNNNNNNNNNNNNNNNNNNNNNNNNNNNNNNNNNNNNNNNNNNNNNNNNNNNNNNNNNNNNNNNNNNNNNNNNNNNNNNNNNNNNNNNNNGCCGACCCCGCCGCCCGACGCCGGAGCCGCCCCGCCGCCACCGUCCUGCCGCGGAGGUUGACCACCGCCGCCGCCGCCGAUUUCCUCGAGAAAAUCGUCCGGUUUUCGUUCGUUUUUUUAAAAAAACUAGAUCUGUUUUUUAUAUAGAUCGGUUUUUUUCCGGUUUUGUUUAUUUAGCCAACGCCCGUUCGUUCGUUUUAACGAACGGUUUUCGUCUUUUAGCCGCAGUUAGCGAACGUUCAUUCGUUAGCCUGUUCGUCCGUUUUUCUUUUUCUCGGAUUUUCCGCGAUUAUUUCUGAUCGUGAUUUUCGAUCUGUUUUUCGUUUUAGUAUAACUUUUCGCUCGUUUAUCGAAAUCAGGAGAUUCAAGCGCCUAGAGUUUCGUAUCGAAACCCUCUUUCAGUUUAACCAACUCAAACAAGUUUUUGCUUCUGUAAAAUUUGACUUAGGUCCAGAUUAGUAAACAAACCCUGUUUCUUUCGCCGUUUGACUUUCGUUGUUUCGUUUGAAUUGUUUCUUUUUGCAAACCGGAGUUCUUAAGUUGAAUUUUCUGGUUAGAUCUCUUAUUUGAGUUUUACCUGUGCAUUAGAUGAGUGCUUAUUGUGUGCUUGUUUGUUUGCGAUAGAGUACCCGGAGUGCGCCGCUUGCUACUUCGAAUCUCUAGGUUUCACGGGUCAUCAGCAAGGCAAGUAACACUUUGAUCAUACCUCUUACUACCAAGUUUUAUUGCAUUAGAUAAAUCCUCAAACAAUUGCAUGGUUAGGAUCUGAAUUAAAUUGUGGGUUUGGGAAGUAGAUGAGGUAGUACCUAUUCACGUGUUUAUUAUCAAACCCCGGGAGUUACUUCUACGUUAUGCUUAUAUUGCUAUGUUAUGCUCGUAGACGUGGUUUGGGUUUGAGUGUAUUCAUGACAGAUGUGAGAUUGUUUAAUUAAUGGUUAACUUAAGGUGGCAACUCUAAUACACAUCUGGGUGGAUUGAGGCACCUGGGUAUUCCAGCGAUUGCCUGUUUUUCUUUAUGGACCGCCACCCAGGCUCAAAGGGAUCAUGAGAUUAUUCAUACUAGAAACUUCCGUGUGCAGCCACAAGCUACUAUGGGCUCUAGCAUAGUUGAUUAAGUCGUGCGAACUCUUACAGUGGUAGACUAGCAGAUGUAGGGGAAAGUAGGUGUAACGGUCUACCCGAUCGUAAGGUGCUAGCGCUUCUGAAAAACUAUGUCUCGAUCAUCCGUUUCUCAAACUCCAUGUAGUGCGAGAAUCCCAACGGAGGAGAUUGAGUCUUGUGGGGAAAAGUGCGCAAACAUCUGCAGAGUGUAUAAACUAAUCAUGGUUAGCCGUGUCCCCGGUUAUGGACAACUUGAGUAUCUAGUACUUGGAUUAUCAUGUGAAUCUCAUCAUGUGACUUUAAUUAAUUUUGUUGGGUUUUAAUGAUGAUGUUUAAUUGGGAUUGAGAGGGUGUCUACGCUCUCAAUGUUUAACAACCACCAUGAUAGUUAAAUAAAUUUAUUCCUUUAAAGUGGGGAAAAACUGGCUUUACGCAAAACUGUAACCAUAGAGCUUUCCACCAGCCAUAUAUGCAUGUAGUAUAGCCUAUUCUGUUCACUACUCUCUAUGUGUUACAUUGCCAGCAUAUUCCAUGUGCUGACCCGUUUUCGGGCUGCAACAUUCAUGUUGCAGACUUUUCAGACGACGAAUAAGGAGCCUUAGGUCGUGGUUCUAUGCUCAGUGAUGCCGUUGGAGUUGAUGGACUCACUUAUCUUCCAAGCCUUCCGCUAUUAUCGUUAUUAGAUGGCCUUACGCCAUAUUAUUUGUAAUAAGUUCUCUUUUGAGACAUUCGAUGUAAUAAGUGUGUGAUUGCUACUCUGUUAUAAAUCCUUCAAGUACUGUGCGUGUCAGCAUUAUUGAUCCAGGGAUGACACUGAAGCACAGAGAUCACACUGUUUGAGGUCUAAUCGCUACAAGAUGGUAUCAGAGCACACGCUAACUGUAGGACACGACCACUAAGAUAAAGACCUAGAUCACUACUCUCUUCUCAUUUCUGACUCCUCAUCUUUUCUACUCUUUUAGGAUGGCAGAUGCAAGGAACAAGUUCACGCAACCGAAUGAAGAUACACCCUUUGGACACCACCUGAAGGAAGUCACUAAGUACCUGAACAUCAGAGUACCAAGCUUCACCGGGACCUACAACGCCACUUUACCCAAGGAGGAGCGCUGGAUGAUUCAAGUUCAAGUUCCUGGAAGGAUGUUCGCGCCAGUCACCGAGCCCAUAGAGUUUUCCUUUGAUGCACCAACCUGGAGUCUAGGAAAGAGCAUGGAUGCCCACAUUACCAUGGGACGUAUUGGAGAAGUUUACCGCAAUGAUCUCAAGGAUACUAUCUAUCAGAUUUGUGGGCGCCGAGAUGAGAAAUGGGAGAUGAUCAGCAUCAGGAAGGAUAGAUCAAUCGCAGCUUUUAUCCAAGAGUUAAAUCAGCACAUUCGACAUCAGGAGAACCAGAUGUGCGCAGGCAUGAUAGAUCUGAAGAAGGCAAUGACAAGAAUCACGGAGCUGGAGGAAGAACUCAAAGCUACACGCGAAGAUUAUAUGGAGGAAAUCAAAGUAUUAGUGGAGAAGAAUGACGACCUGACUAGGAAUCUAGGAGUUUUCAUGGGAGAUCCCGCGCCAGGAGGAGAAGAUGACGAUUCCACUUGCCCAGAGAACUACAUCAUCAUCGACGACACCGACUCAGACCCAGAUGACAGCGAUGAUGACUAUGUUGAUGAAGCUGGAGCGGAUAUCAUGGAGUCUUCAUCGGAGCAGUUUUUCUAGUAGACCACCAUAACAGUAGUAGUAUUCCACCAUAUAUAUAGCAUAGUCCAAGUACUUUUAUAACGAUAGUUCUAGACCGAUUGUAUGCCCUUGUUUGAAUUGAAUGAAGUGAUUUUGUUUGCAUUUGCCUCAUGUGCAUAUGGGUAGUGUUUUCCCUCUAGACCUCAAUCUAUUCUAUAUUCUCAUCUUUUCUAAACCCUCGGAUGCCUCCAAGAUGUGACAAUGGAUUUGCUUUCCCAUCGGAGCUCACUCAGUUGAUCCAGCAGCAGAAUGCAUUGGUGCAGUUGCUAGUCCAGAAUUAGAAUCAGGGGAACAACAACAACAACAACCAACCACACCACCUGUUGAUCACUUAACCCGUUUCCUUAGACUGAAUCCGCCGGUGUUCUCCAGUAGCACCGAGCCGAUAGUGGCAGAUGAUUGGCUCUGCAAGACAGGGAGGGAAUUGACCACAACAGGAUGCACAUAUGCGGAAAAGGUGCGUUUUGCCGCACAUCAGCUUUAAGGACCCGCAUCAUCAUGGUGGGAGAAUUUCACAUCCACUUAUCCUAUCGACACUGUCACAUGGGAUCGGUUUCAGCAGGCUUUCCGUACUGCCCAUGUUUCAGCAGGAGCUAUGGCCAUGAAGAAGCGUGAGUUUCCCAACUUGCACCAAGGAGGACGGACAGUUGGCCAAUAUGUGGAUGACUUUAGUAAGUUAGCACGUUAUGCCCCGGAUGACGUUGCUACGGAUGCAGCUAAGCAGGAGAAAUUUCUGGAAGGACUGAAUGAUGAGUUGAGCAUGCAGUUGAUGGUAGCAACUUUCAACAACUACUAGGAGUUGGUAGAUCGUGCUCUUAUGAUUGAAGGGAAGCAGCAACAGAUUGAGAACCGCAAGAGGAAGUAUGGAUAAGGGAAAUACAAUUCAGGAGCUCAGCAGAAGCCACGUUUUACCCCGAAAUCGGGAGGACAUUUUCAGCAUACCCAUGGAGGAGGGAGUUCGCAUAAUCAUAAUGGCCCCAAGAAUGGUAAUGGGAAUGGGGGAAGCAACGGUCAGAAUCGUACCAACCCAUCAACCCCAGCCAAGAGAGACUUGAGCCAAGUCACUUGUUAUAAGUGUUAGAAGACCGGGCAUUAUGCCAAUGAAUGUCCUGAAGCCCAGAAUGGAAAUGGCAAUGGAAGCUCAGGGAAGAAACCAAACCCUUUCAACAGGGGACAGGUGAACCACAUUAACAUGGAAAAGGUUGAAGCCCAGCCAGAUGCAACAAUAGGUAAGUUUUUGGUUAAGUCAUUUACUGCAAUCGUUCUUUUUGAUACUGGGGCAUCGCAUUCAUACAUAUCAAGGGGAUUUGUGGAUAAGUAUAAACUACCCACCAAGGUUCUUAAAACACCUAUGUUAGUAAGCUCACCAGGAGCGGAGUAUAUGGCCAGUAGAGGAUGUUUUCAAGUGCCAUUGAGUAUAGGUAGACAUGUGUUUCCCUCGGGUUUAAUCAUUAUGGAAUCGCAAGGUUUGGAUGUAAUUCUGGGUAUGGAUUGGCUAUCGAUGUGUGGAGGAAACAUCGAUUGCGCCAAUAAGUCGAUUUUGCUUACCACCCCAGAGGGAAGAAGGAUCAAGUAUGUAUCACGGCAUGUGCCGAAUAGGACUCAAGUAAAUUCCUUAACAGGAGUUGUGUGGGAGGAAGUAUCGGUGGUAAAGGAUUUUACAGAUGUAUUUCCAAAAGAGUUGCCAGGCAUGCCACCGGAUAGAGACAUUGAGUUUUUGAUUGAGCUUUUGCCAGGCACAUGGCCAAUAUCUAAGAGACCAUACAGAAUGCAUGCAAAGGAUUUGGAGGAGAUUAAGAAGCAAAUUAAGGAGUUACUGGAUAAGGGUUAUAUUCGCCCAAGUUCGUCACCUUGGGGAUCAACAGUACUUCUAGUGGAAAAGGAGGAUGGAUCAUUAAGGAUGGUUGUUGAUUAUCGAGGAUUGAAUGAAGUGACGAUCAAGAAUAAGUACCCACUGCCAAUGACUAAUGAUUUGUUUGACCAAUUGCAAGGAGCUAAGGUAUUUUCCAAGAUCGAUUUGCGAUCAGGAUACCACCAGUUGAAGAUUCGAGAGCAGGACAUACCUAAGACAACUUUUACCACAAGGUACAUGCUGUAUGAGUAUACCGUUAUGUCAUUUGGUCUGACUAACGCACCUGCCUAUUUUAUGAACAUGAUGACAAAGUGUUUAUGGAGUUUUUGGAUAAGUUCGUCGUAGUAUUCAUUGAUGAUAUUCUGGUUUACUCGAAGAAUGAAGAAGAACAUAAAGAACAUUUGCUUUUGGUACUUGCUAAGCUCAGAGAACAUCAGUUAUACGCCAAAUUCAGCAAAUGUGAGUUUUGGUUGAAGGAAGCUGGAUUCCUCGGACAUGUUAUAUCCGGACAAGGAAUAGCAGUAGAUCCCACCAAGGUUGUCACUAUGACAAAUUGGGAAGCCCCAACAACAGUUGGAGAGAUCCGGAGUUUUCUUGGACUCGCAGGAUACUACCGGAGAUUCAUUGAAAAUUUCUCGAAGAUUGCAAAACCUAUGACGGAGUUGUUGAAGAAGGAUACCAAGUUCAAAUGGACUGAGGAAUGUGAGGCCAGUUUCCAGUAGUUAAAGAAACGUUUGGUUACCUCGCCAGUGUUGAUUCUGCCAGAUCAGCGCAAGGAUUAUGAGGUAUAUUGCGCCGCUUCACGUUGAGGACUUGGAGCAGUGCUUAUGCAGGAGGGUAGAGUUGUUUCAUAUGCCUCACGACAGCUUAAGCCCCAUGAGUUGAAUUAUGCUACUCAUGACUUGGAGUUAGCAGCCGUAGUGCACGCUUUGAAGACAUGGAGACAUUUUCUCAUCGGAAAUCAUUGUGAGGUGUACACGGAUCACAAGAGUUUGAAGUACAUCUUCACGCAGAAGGAGUUGAAUCUCAAGCAAAGGAGAUGGUUGGAGCUCAUCAAGGAUUAUGAUAUGAGAUUGCAUUAUCAUCCCGGAAAGGCUAACGUAGUAGCUGACGCAUUGAGCCGCAAGAGCCAUGUUAACACACUAAUGACCGGAGUGUUACCAAAAGAAUUAGCCGAGGAUCUUCGUGAGCUAUGUUUGGUGAUAGUUCCGAGAGGCUAUGUAGCAGCAUUGGAGAUUCAGUCUACUCUGAUGGAUAAGAUCAGAGAAGCUCAGAAGACCGACAAGGAAAUUGCCACCAUAAAGGAGAAGGUGAGCAAGGGAAAAGUUAAAGGAUUUCGUGAGGAUGAAUACGAUACCUUAUGGUUUGAGGACCGCGUUUAUGUGCCUAAUGACCGGAGAUCAGGAAGUUAAUUUUGCAAGAGGCCCAUGAUUCGCCGUACUCGAUUCACCCAGGAAACACCAAGAUGUAUUUGGAUUUGAAGGACACUUUCUGGUGGACUAGAAUGAACAAGGAUAUUGCGGCGUAUGUAGCAGUCUGUGAUGUAUGUCAGAGAGUGAAGGCAGAGCAUCAGAAGCCAGCAGGAUUGCUACAGCCAUUGCCGAUACCCGAAUGGAAGUGGGAUAAGCUAGGCAUGGAUUUCAUCACGGGAUUACCCAGGACCCGUUCAGGCUAUGACUCGAUAUUGGUUAUAGUCGAUCGCCUGACGAAGGUAGCUCAUUUCAUCCUAGUGAAGACCACUUACACCAGUGCUAAGUUGGCAAAGAUAUACAUGACCAAGAUUGUAUGUUUGCAUGGAGUUUUGAGGAGCAUUGUAUCAGAUAGAGAAACCCAGUUUACCUCAAAGUUCUGGAAUCAGUUUCACGAAACUUUGGGUACCAGGCUAGACUUCAGUACAACUUUUCAUCCACAGACCGAUGGACAGACCGAGAGAGUCAAUUAGAUUCUGGAGGAUAUGCUAAGAGCUUGUGCGCUAGAUUAUGGAUCUAGUUGGGAUGACAACUUACCAUAUGCGGAGUUCUCUUACAACAAUAGUUAUCAAUCUAGUUUGAAGAUGGCCCCUUUUGAAGCCUUGUACGGAAGAAUGUGCAGAACACCAUUGUCGUGGGAUGAAGUUGGAGACCGCCAGUUAUUUGGACCAGAUCUGAUUAAGGAGUCUGAACAGAAGGUGAAGUUGAUUCGUGAUAGGCUCAAGGUAGCCCAAUCGAGGCAGAAGAGCUAUGCAGAUUCUAAACGCAAGGAGACGGUUUACGAAGCCGGAGAUAGAGUUUAUCUUCGUGUAUCUCCACUUCGAGGAGUUAAGCGCUUUGGAGUUAAGGGAAAGUUAGCGCCACGUUUUGUGGGACCAUACAAAGUUUUGGAACGCAUGGGAGAAGUUGCUUAUAAAUUGGAACUGCCCGAGGGAUUGUCGGCAGUUCAUGACGUGUUGCACGUUUCCCAGUUAAAGAAGUGCCACGCAGAGAUGGCGGAUAUACCAUUGAGAGAUACAGUGCCGCUGGAAGCGAUUCAGUUGGAUAGUGAUUUGACUUAUGAGGAGAAACCAAUCAAGAUUCUCGAGUAUGCCAGCCGAGUCACUCGCAGCAAGGUUAUCAAGUUUUGCAAAGUUCAGUGGAGCCACCAUACCGAGAAUGAAGCCACCUGGGAACGAGAAGAAGAUCUACGGAAAGACCACCCUCACCUAUUUGCUAGCCAACCCGAAUCUCGAGGGCGAGAUUCAUCUUAAGGGGGGUAGGUUUAUAACAUCCCAAAAUUUUAAUUUGGAAUGUUAUACAUUAGAUCAUCAUUGCAUAUCAUAUUUUAUUGCAUUUUGGCUAGAUCCUAGAAAUCCUACGCAACUAAAGGACCCAUGGAGAGAGUUGGGGAUUUCGUUAUUUUCAUAUUUGGGUUUUCUCAAAUUUUGAAAAUAGGAUCAUUUGAUUUUAUUUAUUUUAUCUCAAUUAUUUCAAUUAUAAAAAUAAGAGAGAGGGAAUAAAAUGACUUUCCCAAAAUAAAGAAAUAUUGAGGAUUUAAUAAAAAAUCAAAUAAGAUUUUAUUUCGGAGUUUUCUCGCUAUUUUAUUUGAAUUAGGAAAAAAUACGCGUUUUUCAAAAUUGCAUUUAGGACCCAAAUAAAUGUUCAUCUUGUCCGGCUUGAUUUUAGAAGUCUGGGAAAAUUUAUUUUGGGAUUUUUGGAUUCCGUUUAGUAUUUCUUUUAUUUGUUUUUCUGCGUGAAAUUAUUAUAAAAAAACGAACCGACCUAACCGGGUCGUGUCCGACUAGGACUCUGGCCCGACCGACCCUUAUAAGCCGGGGAGGCCACCCCGUAGCCCAGCCCGAGCCGCCCUGCCACCCCAAACCCUAGCGCCGCUGCNNNNNNNNNNNNNNNNNNNNNNNNNNNNNNNNNNNNNNNNNNNNNNNNNNNNNNNNNNNNNNNNNNNNNNNNNNNNNNNNNNNNNNNNNNNNNNNNNNNNNNNNNNNNNNNNNNNNNNNNNNNNNNNNNNNNNNNNNNNNNNNNNNNNNNNNNNNNNNNNNNNNNNNNNNNNNNNNNNNNNNNNNNNNNNNNNNNNNNNNNNNNNNNNNNNNNNNNNNNNNNNNNNNNNNNNNNNNNNNNNNNNNNNNNNNNNNNNNNNNNNNNNNNNNNNNNNNNNNNNNNNNNNNNNNNNNNNNNNNNNNNNNNNNNNNNNNNNNNNNNNNNNNNNNNNNNNNNNNNNNNNNNNNNNNNNNNNNNNNNNNNNNNNNNNNNNNNNNNNNNNNNNNNNNNNNNNNNNNNNNNNNNNNNNNNNNNNNNNNNNNNNNNNNNNNNNNNNNNNNNNNNNNNNNNNNNNNNNNNNNNNNNNNNNNNNNNNNNNNNNNNNNNNNNNNNNNNNNNNNNNNNNNNNNNNNNNNNNNNNNNNNNNNNNNNNNNNNNNNNNNNNGGAGCCGCUCCGCCGCCGACCCCGCCACCCACCGGAGCCCCCGCCCGACGCUGGAGCUGCCCCACCGCCGUCGUUCCGCUGCCGAGGUUGACCACCGCCGCCGCCGCCGGUUUCCUCGAGAAAACCGUCAGGUUUUCGUUCGUUUUUAAAAAAAACUAGAUUUGUUUUUUAUAUAGAUCGGUUUUUUUGGUUUAGUUUAUUUAGCGAACGCCCGUUCGUUCGUUCGUUCGUUUUAACGAACGGUUUUCGUCUUUUAGCCGCAGUUAGCGAACAUUCGUUCGUUAGCCAGUUUGUCCAUUUUUAUUUUUCUCGCAUUUUCCGCGAUUAUCUCUGAUCGCGAUUUCUGAUUUAUUUUUCGUUUUAGUAUAACUUUUCGCUCGUUUAUCGGAAUCAGGCGAUUCAAGCGCCUAAGUUUCGUCUCGAAACCCUCUUUCCGUUUAACCAACUCAAACAAGUUCUUGCUUCUGUAAAAUUUGACUUAGGUCCAGAUUAAUAAACACAGUCUGUUUCUUUCGCCGUUUGACUUUCGUUGUUUCGUUUGAAUUGUUUCUUUUUGCAAACCGGAGUUCUUAAGUUGAACUUUCUGGUUAGAUCUCUUAUUUGAGUUUUACCUGUGCAUUAGAUGAGUGCUUAUUGUGUGCUUGUUUGUUUGCGAUAGAGUACACGGAGUGCGCCGCUUGCUACUUCAAAUCUCUAGGUUUCACGGAUCAUCAACAAGACAAGUAACACUUUGAUCAUACCUCUUACUACCCAGUUUUAUUGCAUUAGAUAAAUCCUCAAACAAUUGCAUGAUUAGGAUCUGAAUUAAAUUGUGGGUUUGGGAAGUAGAUGAGGUAGUACCUAUUCACCUGUUUAUUAUCAAACCCUGGGAGUUACUUCUACGUUAUGCUUAUAUUCCUAUGCUAUGCUCAUAGACGUGGUUUGGGUUUGAGUGUAUUCAUGACAGAUGUGAGAUUGUUUAAUUAAUGGUUAACUUAAGGUGGCAACUCUAAUACACAUCUGGGUGGAUUGAGGCACCUGGGUAUUCUAGUGAUUGCCUAUUUUUCUUUAUGAACCGCCACCCAGGCUCAAAGGGAUCAUGAGAUUAUUCAUACUAGAAACUUUCGUGUGCAACCACAAGCUACUAUGGGCUCUAGCAUAGUUGAUUAAGUCAUGCGAACUCUUAUAGUGGUAGACUAGCAGAUGUAGAGGAAAGUAGGUGUAAUGGUCUACCCGAUCGUAAGGUGCUAGCGCAUCUGAAAAACUAUGUCUCGGUCAUCCGUUUCUCAAACACCAUGUAGUGCAAGAAUCCCAACGGAGGAGAUCGAGUCUUGUGGGGAAAAGUGCGCAAACCUCUGCAGAGUGUAUAAACUAAUCAUGGUUAGCCGUGUCCCUGGUUAUGGACAACUUGAGUAUAUAGUACUUGGAUUAUCAUGUGAAUCUCAUCAUGUGACUUUAAUUAAUUUUGUUUGGUUUUAAUGAUGAUGUUUAAUUGGGAUUGAGAGGGUGUCUACGCUCUAAAUGUUUAACAACCACCAUGAUAGUUAAUUAAAAUUUAUUCCUUUGCAGUAGGGAAAAACUGGCUUUACGUAAAACUAUAACCAUGGAGCUUUCCACCAGCCAUAUAUGCAUGUAGUAUAGCCUAUUCUGUUCACUACUCUCUAUGUGUUACAUUGCCAGCAUAUUCCAUGUGCUUACCCGUUUUCGGGCUACAACGUUCAUGUUGCAGACUUUUCAGACGACGAAUAAGGAGCCAUAGGUCGUGGUUCUAUACUCAGUGAUGCCGUUGGAGUUGAUGGACUCACUUAUCUUCCAAGCCUUCCGCUGUUAUCGUUAUUAGAUGGCCUUAAGCCACAUUAUUUGUAAUAAGUUCUCUUUUGAGACAUUCGAUGUAAUAAGUGUGUGAUUGCUACUCUGUUAUAAAUCAUUCAAGUAUUGUGCGUGUCAGCAUUACUGAUCCAGGGAUGACACUGAAGCACAGAGAUCAGACUGUUUGAGGUCUGGUCGCUACAGAUUUCCAAGGCACCCCAAGGUAAUAUUCAAGGAUAACCAAGAACCAAAGUUUGGGGAUGCCCCGGAAGGCAUCCGCUCUGUCGUCUUCGUCUAUGGGUAACUUUACUUGAGGCUAUAUUUUUAUUCACUACAUGAUAUGUGUUUUGCUUAGAGCGUCUUGUAUGAUUUGAGUUCUUUCUUUUUAGUUUGCCACACUCAUCCUUGCUGUACACACCUUUUGAGAGAGACACGCAUGAUUCGUGAUUUAUUAGAAUACUCUAUGUGCUUCACUUAUAUCUUUUGAGCUAGGCAAAUUUUGCUCUAGUGCUUCACUCAUAUCUUUUUAGAGCACGGCGGUGUUUUUAUUUUAUAGAAAUUGAUGAACCCUCGUACUUCACUUAUAUUAUUUUGAGAGUCUUUAAACAACAUGGUAAUUUGCUUUGGUUAUAAAAUUAGUCCUAAUAUGAUAGGCAUCCAAGAGGGAUAUAAUAAAACUUUCAUAUAAAGUGCAUUAAAUACUAUGAGAAGUUUGAUUCCAUAUGAUUGUUUUGAGAUAUGAAGAUGGUGAUAUUAGAGUCAUGCUAGUGAGUAGUUGUGAAUUUGAGAGAUACUUGUGUUAAGGUUUGUGAGUCCCGUAGAAUGCAGGUAUGGUGAACCGUUAUGUAACGAAGUUGGAGCAUGAGAUAUUUUUUGAUUGUCUUCCUUAUGAGUGGCGGUCUGGGAUGAGCGAUGGUCUUUCUCUACCAAUCUAUCCCCCUAGGAGUAUGCGUGUAGUACUUUGUUUCGAUGACUAAUAGAUUUUUGCAACAAGUGAGUUCUUUAUGACUAGUGUUGAGUCCAUGGAUUAUACGCACUCUCACCCUUCUGCCAUUGCUAGCCUCUCUUGUACCGCGCAACUUUUGUCGGUACCAUAAACCAAACAUAUACCUUCCUCAAAAUAGCCACCAUACCUACCUAUUAUGGCAUUUCCAUAGCCAUUUCGAGAUAUAUUGCCAUGCAACUUUCCACCAUUCUGUUUAUUAUGACACGCAUCAUCAUUGUCAUGUAGUUGACACCGUAUUUGUGGAAAAGCCACCGUUCAUCAUUUUAUACAUGUCACUCUUGACUCAUUGCACAUCCCGGUACACCACCGAAGGUUUUCAUAUAGAGUCAUAUCUUGUUCUAUAUCGAGUUGUAAUUUUUGAGUUGUAACUAAAUAGAAGUAUGAUGAUAUUCCUUUUUAGAACAUUGUCCCGUGUGAGGAAAUAAAAGAAAGAAAGAAAAAAGAGGAGAAAAAGAAAAGAGAGAGAGAGAGAGAGAGAGAGAGAGAGAGAAAUGAGAGAAAAAGAGAGAAGGGGCAAUGUUACUAUCCUUUUCCAUACUUGUGCUUCAAAGUAGCACCUUGAUCUUCAUGAUAGAGAGUCUCCUAUGUUGUCACUUCCAUAUAGUAGUGGGAAUUUUCAUUAUAGAACUUGGCUUGUAUAUUCCAACGAUAGGCUUCCUCAAAUGCCCUAGGUCUUCAUGAGAAAGCAAGUUGGAUGCACACCCACUUAGUUUUCUUUUUGAGAUUUCAUAAACUUAUAGCUCUAGUGCAUCCAUUGCAUGGCAAUCCCUACUCACUCACAUUGAUAUCUAUUAAUGGGCAUAUCCAUAGCCCGUUGAUACGCCUAGUUGAUGUGAGACUAUCUCCCUCUUUUUGUCUUCUCCACAACCACCUUCUAUUCCACCUAUAGUGCUAUGUCCACGGCUCACGAUCAUGUAUUGCGUGAAAGUUGAAAAGGUUUGAGAACAUUAAAAGUAUGAAACAAUUGCUUGGCUUAUCAUCGGGGUUGUGCAUGAUUUGAAUAUUUUAUGUGAUGAAGAUGGAGCAUAGCCACACUAUAUGAUUUUGUAGGGAUGAGCUUUCUUUGGCCAUGUUAUUUUGAGAAGACAUAAUUAUUUUGUUAGUAUGCUUGAAGUAUUAUUGUUUUUAUGACAAUAUUAAUUUUUUUUGAGUCAUACGGAUCUGAACAUUCAUGCCACAAUAGAGAAAAUUACAUGGAUAAAUAUGUUAGGUAGCAUUCCACAUCAAAAAUUCUAUUUUUAUUAUUUACCUACUCGAGGACGAGCGGGAAUUAAGCUUGGGGAUGCUUGAUACGUCUCCAACCUAUCUAUAAUUUUUAUUGUUCCAUGCUAUUAUAUUAUCUGUUUUGGAUGUUUUAUAUGCAUCAAUAUGCUAUUUUAUAUUAUUUUUGGGACUAACCUAUUAACCUAGAGCCCAGUGCCAGUUCCCGUUUUUUCCUUGUUUUAGAGUUUCGCAGAAAAGGAAUACCAAACGGAGUCCAAACGGAAUGAAAAUUCUGCGACGAUUUUUCUUGGACUAGAAGACAUCCAGAGGACUUGGAGUGCACGUGAAGGAAGCCACGAGGCAGCCACAAGGUCGGAGGGAGCGCCCCCACCCUAGUGGGCCCCUCGUGACUCCACCGACCUAUUUCUUCCACCUAUAUAUUCUCAAAUAUUCCAAAACCUACCAGGAGAGCCAUGAAAGCACUUUUUCAUUGCCGCAACCUUCUGUUCGUGUGAGAUCCCAUCUAGGGCCUUUUCCAGCGUCCUGCCGAAGGGGGAUUUGAUCACGGAGGGCUUCUACAUCAACACCAUUGCCUCUCCGAUGAAGCGUGAGUAGUUUACCACAGACCUACGGGUUCAUAGCUAGUAGCUAGAUGGCUUCUUCUCUCUCUUUGAUUCUCAAUACCAUGUUCUCCCCGAUGUUCUUGGAGAUCUAUUCGAUGUAAUACUCUCUUUGCGGUGUGUUUGUCGAGAUCUGGUGAAUUGUGGAUUUAUGAUCAGCUUAUCUAUGAAUAUUAUUUGAAUCUCCUCUGAAUUCUUAUAUGCAUGAUUUGAUAUCUUUGCAAGUCUCUUCGAACUAUUUGGUUUGGCCAACUAGAUUGGUUUUUUUGCAAUGGGAGAAGUGCUUAGCUUUGGGUUCAAUCUUGCGGUGUCCUUUCCCAAUGACAGUAGGGGCAGCAAGGCAUGUAUUGUAUUGUUGCAAUAGAGGAUAACAAGAUGGGGUUUUCAUCAUAUUGCUUGAGUUUAUUCCGCCACAUCAUGUGAUUUUGCUUAAAGCGUUACUUUGUUCUUAUGAACUUAAGACUCUAGAUGCAUGUAUGAGUCGGUCCAUGUGUGGAGUAAUAGUAGUAGAUGCGGGCAGGAGCCGAUCUACUUGAUACGGACGUGAUGCCUAUAUUCAUGAUCAUUGCCUUACAUAUCGUCAUAACUUUGCGCUUUCCUAUCAAUUGCUCGGCAGUAAUUUGUUUACCCAUCGUAAUAAUUUCUAUCUUGAGAGAAGCCUAUAGUGAAACCUAUGGCCCUCGGGUCUAUUUUCCAUCAUAUAAGUUUCCGAUCUACAAUUUUAGUUUCCUAUUUACUUCCUUUGUAAUCUUUACUUUCUGUUCCAUAAACCAAAAAUAUUACUUUACUCUUUAUCCAUCUUUAUCAGAUCUCACUUUGCAAAUAACCGUGAAGGGAUUGACAACCCCUUUGUCGCGUUCGCUGCAAGUUGGUGUUUGUUUGUGCAGGUAUUCGGUGACUUGUGCGUUGUCUCCUACUGGAUUCAUACCUUGGUUCUGAAAACUGAGGGAAGUACUUAAUCUACUUUGGUGCAUCACCCUUUCCUCUUUAAGAGAAAAACCAACGCAAGCUCAAGAGGUAGCAAUGUGCUGAAGAGUGGCUCACCCAUAGUGGAGUAUGGGGGAGCAAUCUACUUGUCUUCAUCGAGCCAACGCAAUCAAGAAAUGUGGUCCAACUUGAGGAGGUCAAGAUCAUCAUCAUCUAGGUCAAGUGGACUAUGUGCAAGGCAAAGGUUCAUGGUGGUAGUUGAGAGACCGGGUUAUAGGAUUUGCCGUACUAUUAAGGGGGGCUCCCGAGUGAGUAGCUUGAUCGUAUCAUUCGUAGAGAGCUCAAACCAUUGCAUCCUUGCAUCAUCUUUCUUGGUUCUUGUUUGGUUCUUCUCCUUGUGAGAUUUGGAACUUAUGGUCAUCUUCAUGACAAGCUCGAGUUCAUCGAAAACAGAGUUCACAUGCAUCUUCUAUGAGGUUUUAAAUGUUGGUUUUUUGCAUGUUCUUCAUUCAUAGAGGUUUCACAUAUGUAUAUCAUUGGCAUUUUUAUACUGCCUCUUCUCGCUAUUUGGAUAGUAGUCAUCGUCAUCUGUCGAACAAGCUUGAGUUUGCUCUGUUCGAAGCCCGUAUGGAGAAGUUAUGGCAGUUCUAGUUUUCCUACUUCCAUCUGUUUGCUUGGGCUAUUUUCAAGCUCACUAGCGGUAGUACUGCUUGCGUGGUACUUCUGCGAUCCAUUACCGCGGGGACCACCGCUUGUGUUCAGGCUUCUGGACUUGUUUUCGCUUCGACGACAGUUGGGCACGGUAGUACCGCACGUGCCCAGCGAUAGUACUGUUCCCGCGAUACUUCCGCGAUCGACUACCACUGCUACUUCCGCCUAUUUUAUUGCCACUGGACUCGUCUUUCUCUCCGCAGUUGUAGAGCGACUAUAAGGGACGAUAGUACUACUUCUCCCCUGUAUACUGCAACCUCAGCGAUAGUACCACCACGGCGAGCGGUAGUACCGCUCUUGCGACACCGACGACGACUAUAAUGCCUGGCUCGCUCGCAUCACCAAGCACAUCAAUGUUGCCGGCGUCGCCCUGGCGCCAUCUCGCUCCUUGCCGCCUCCGCCAUUGCGUGACGCGUGGGGGUGGCAAGACGCACCUCCUCCACCUGCUCCGCGCAACGAUGGCGUGCCACACCACCGUCUGGAGCGCUCGCCUGAGCCCUCCCACGGCUCCUCCCGGCUGGGUGGCGACAACCCGAGCUGCCAGAUCAUCCAGCGUGCGCGCCCUGACGCACAAGUGCUCAUCGAGAGCCAACGCGAGCACCAAAACCACACCAUCCAGGAGGUCGUGGCCGUCGGGCGCCAGAACCACACUGCCCUUGCAGGCGGCGGCGUCUCCACCGUCGGGGGCUGCAUGGCUUUCACACGCGAGCUCCAUCGCGUGGUGUGGCCCUCAAAGUUCAAGCCGCACCUGCCUCCCCGCUACGACGGCACCGCCAAAUGCGUGCAGUUCCUGUCGCUCUAUUCCAUGAGCAUCUAGGCCGCCAAGGGGGAUGACAAGGUCCUGGCGAAUUGGUUCCCCAUGGCCCUCAAGGACGCGGCACACACAUGGCUGAUGAGCCUUCCCGAGGGCUCCAUUUCCUCGUGGGAGGACCUGUGCCAGCAGUUCAUUGCCAACUUCAAGCGCAUGUUCGACUGCCCUCUCACACUCAGUAGCCUGCACGCCAUCCAUCAGUGCAUUAACGAGCCCCUUCGCAAGUACAUGCAUCGCUUCAGCCAGGUUCGCAAUAGGAUCCCGUGUGCCUCCAACAUCGCGGUCAUCAUAGCCUUCUCCACAUGGGUCAUGGACGUCAGGAUGCGCGAGAAACCCGUCGUCCGCGACAAACUCGACACCAUGGUUGAGCUCUUCGACCUUGCCGACAAGUACACCAAGGCUAAGGAGGGCCAUUUCUUCACCCAAAACGACCCCGACUAAAAGCACAAAUGCUCCGUUGGUGGUUUUGGUAAUUAAUGUCAAUAUAUCUUUUGUUGGACUAAUAGUUCUAUCUAGAAUAUUUUAGACAAGUUCAACAGUGGCAUGGCAAGGACAAGAGGAUGUUGACCCCUUCAAAAUGCUGAGGACAUGGGUUGGCAAAAGCUCAAGAUUCUACAUUUUUAGUUAAGUGAUCUAAGAUCACAUUGAAUCCAUAGAAAAACCAAUACUAUUAAAAGGGGAUGAGGCUUUGAUAAUGAUCUGUUUACUCAAGUGCUUAGUGAUAUUGCUCCAAAACCCUCAGUCACUUUCUCUAUCCAAAUAUGUCCGAAACCCUACAUUCCAACUCGGUCCCAUCGAAACAUACCUAUUCAGAACCACUGAGUUCAUCUGGGCAUUGCCAUAGCCAAACCCUAACAAAUCGGAUCCACUGAUAUGGAUCUCGGUCUCACCGAGAUGGCCUUGCCAACUCUUUGGUUGCAAUUAUUUCAGUCUUACCGAUUUUUGCAAUCGGUGCCACCGAGAUGUCUUGCCAACCUUUUGUUACUUAUUAUACUUUUUUCGGUCUCACCGAGAUGAUGCAAUCGAUGCCACCGAAGCAAGGUUUUGCUCUACCAUUGCACAUCGGCUCAUCUGAGAUGUUUCCGCUCGGUCACACUGAGACCUCCAACAUCCAUAUCUUUUCCACAGGUCGGUCCCACUGAGAUUUCUGAUAGGUGCCACCGAGUUGAGUCAAAAGUGUGUAACAGUUGGAUUUCGUGUGGAGGCUAUAUAUACCCCUCCACCCCCUCUUACCCAGUGAGAGAGCCAUCAAAAUGUGCCUACACUUCCACUAUUCAUUUUCUAAGAUAGAGCUACCUACUCAUGUGUUGACAUCAAGAGAUUACAUUCCUACCAUUUGAACCUUGAUUUCUAACCUUCCCCAAGUUGCUUUCCACUCAAAUCCCUCUUCUACCAUAGCCAAAUCUGUGAGAGAGAGUUGAGUGUUGGGGAGACUAUCAUUUGAAGCACAAGAGCAAGGAGUUCAUCAUCAUCAUACCAUUUAUUACCUUUUGGAGAGUGGUGUCUCCUAGAUUGGUUAGGUGUCGCUUGGGAGCCUCCGACAUGAUGUGGAGUUGAACCAAGAAGUUUGUAAGGGCAAGGAGAUCACCUACUUGGUGAAGAUCUACCCGAGUGAGGCAAGUCCUUUGUGGAUGAUGGCCAUGGUGGGUUAGACAAGGUUGCUUCUUCGUGGACCCUUCAUGGGUGUAGCCCUCUGUGGACUCGCGCAGCCAUUACUCUUCGUGGGAUGAAGUCUCCAUCAACAUGGACGUACGAUAGCACCACCUAUCGGAACGACACCAAAAAUCUUCGCGUCUCCAUUGCAUUUGCACUUUCCAAUUCCCAUCCCUUUACAUUCUUGCACUUGCAUGCUUUAAUCUUUUUGCUGCCCAUACUCUUGCUAUGCUUGUGUAAAAUGUUGGGAAAUGUAGCAUGCAAUUUCAAAAAAAAUCAUAUGCCCACGCAAGAUCUAUCUAGGAUAUGCAUAGCAUCGGGAGAGGAAGAGUGUGUCCACGUACCCUCGUAGACCGAAAGCGAAAGCGUUUGACAACGUGGUUGAUGUAGUUGAACUUCUUCUCAUACCGACCGAUCAAGCACCGACCGUAUGACACGUCCGAGUUCUGCACACGUUCAGCUCGAUGACGUCCCUCGAACUCUUGAUCCAGCAAAGUGUCGAGGAAGAGUUUCGUCAGCACGACGGCAUGGUGACGGUGAUGGUGAAGCAAUCCGCGUAGGGCUUCGCCUAAGCACUACGUGAAUAUGACCGGAGGCGUAAACUAUGGAGGGGGGCACCGCACACGGCUAACAUAUGUUUGUGUGUCCUCUAGGCGCCCCCCUCCCCACAUAUAUAUUGGUUGGUGUGGGCGGCGGCGUAGGGUGGGGGCAGUGGUGCGGGGCAGCGGCAGCAGCGACGGCGAAUGGCGAUGCGGGGCGGCGGCUCGACUACAGUGGCGGGGCUGCGGGUUUGGUGGAGGGAGAGGGGGCGGUGGCGGCGGCAUAUAAAGGGGGAAAGGGAGGUGGUGGGGUGGCUUGCGGGAGGGGACGGGGUCCCCGUGUCCUGGUCGGACACGGCGGCGGCAGCGGGCGAACUCGAGACUCCAGUCCUGAGCCGGAGGAAGGCGGCGGCGCGCUGGUCCGGCCAAGGAAGAAGUUUUUUUAAUAAAAAUCACCGCAAAAAUAAAAUAAUCCUAAUAAAAUAUAAAAAAAUCUAAAAAAAUUCCAGAAACAAUUUUCACCGUCCAAACCUAAUAUUUAGGACAAGAUGAACAUUUUUCUGGAGUAGAAUGCAAUUUAAUGCAUGUUUUUUCUCUAAUUCAAAUAAAAUAGCAAAUAAAAUACAAAUAAAAAUAAGUUGAUUUUAAAAUUUCUUCUCCAAUAUUUCUCUUCUGUUUGAAGAAGUCAUUUUAUCUUCUCUCAUUUAUUUUUGUUAUUGGAAAUAAUUGGAGAUAAAAUAUUAAAACCAAAUUGAUCCUCUUUUCAAAUUGGAAACUGAAUUCAAAUAUGAAAAUUUGUGAAACCUCCAACUCUCUCCUUGGGUCCUUGAGUUGCUUAAGAUUUCUAGGAUCACAACCAAAUGCAAAUGAAAUAAUAUGAUAUGCAUAUAAUGAUCUAUGCAUAACAUCCAAAUUGAAAAUUGGGAUGUUACAAACCUACCCCCUUAAGAUGAAUCUCGCCCUCGAUAUUCGGUUUGGCUAGAAAAUAGGUGUGGGUGGUCUUUCCGUAGGUCUUCCUCUCGCUCCUAGGUGGCUUCUUCCUCAGUAUGGUGACUCCACUGAACUUUGCAAAACUUGAUAACCUGGUUGCGUGUAACUCAGCUGGCAAACUCGAGAAUCUUGACUUGUUUCUCCUCGUAGGUUAGGUCACUCUCGAACUGAAUUGCUUCCAGGGGCACUGUAUCUCUCAGAGGAAUAUCAACCAUCUCUGCAUGGCACUUCUUCAACUGGGAAACGUGAAACACAUCAUGAACUCCUGACAAACCUUUGGGUAAUUCCAAUUUGUAGGCCAGUUCUCCCAUAUGUUCCAAAACUUGGUAUGGUCCUACAAAUCUUGGGGCUAACUUUCCUUUGACUCCAAAUCGUUUAACUCCUCGAAGUGGUGACACACGAAGAUAUGCUCUAUCUCCGAUUUCGUAGACUACCUCCUUGCAUUUAGUGUCAACAUAACUGUUCUGUCUGGACUGAGAUACCUUCAGUCUAUCACGACUUAACUUAACCUUCUCUCCAUACUCUGGUCCGGUCUCCUACAUCAUCCCACAUCAAUGGUGUCAUGCACCUUCUUCCAUACAAAGAUUCAAAAGGGGUCAUCUUCAAACUGACCUGAUAGCUGUUGUUGUAUGAGAACUCUGUGUAAGGCAAAUUAUCAUCCCAAAUAGAUCCAUAAUCUAGCGCACAAGCUCUCAACAUGUCCUCCAGAAUCUGAUUGACUCUUUUAGUCUGUCCAUCAGUCUAUGGAUGAAAGGCUGUACUGAACUCUAGCCUGGUACCCAAGGUCUGGUGUAACUGAUUCCAAAACUUUGAGGGAAACUUGUUCCUCUAUUUGAUACGAUGGUCCUCUGAACUCCAUGUAGACAUAUGAUCCUGGUCAUAUAUAUCUUGGCCAACUUCGCACUCGUAUAAGUGGUUUUCACGGGUAUAAAGUGGGCCACUUUGGUCAAGCGAUCAACUACUACCCAGAUGGAGUCAUAUCCUGAUCGGGUCCUGGGUAAUCCGGUGAUAAAGUCCAUGCCAAGUUUAUGCCACUUCCAUUCAGGUAUCGGCAUAGGCUAUAAUAAUCCGGCUGGCUUCUGGUGUUCUGCCUUAACUCUCUAACAUACAUCACAUACUGCUACAUACUCGGCAAUAUCCUUCUUCAUACCUGUCCACUAGAAACGUUCCUUCAAAUCCAAAUACAUCUUGGUGUUUCCUGGGUGAAUCGAGUAUGGAGAAUCAUGAGCCUCCUGAAGUAUUAACUUCCUGAUCUCUCGGUCAUUGGGCACAUAGAUUCGGUCCUCAAACCAUAAAGUCUCGUGCUCAUCUUCACGAAAUCCUUUGGCCUUUCCUUUGCUCAUCUUUUCCUUUAUUUCAGCAAUCUCCUUAUCAGUCUUCUGGGCUUCUCGAAUCUUUCCCAAUAAUGUGGACUGAACCUCCAAUGCUGCUACAAAACCUCUCGGAACUAUCUCCAAACAAAGUUCCCUGAGAUCUUUAGCUAACUCCUGUGGUAAUCCUCCAGUUAAGAGAGUAUUAACAGAACUCUUGCGGCUCAAGGCGUCUGCUACUACACUGGCCUUUCCCGGAUGAUAAUGCAGCUUCAUAUCAUAAUCCUUUAUGAGCUCCAACCAUCUCCUCUGCCUGAGAUUCAACUCCUUCUGCGUGAAAAUAUACUUCAGACUCUUAUGAUUCAUGUAUACAUCACAACGGUUUCCAAUAAGAAAAUGUCUCCAUGUCUUGAGCGCAUGCACUACGACUGCUAACUCCAAAUCAUGUGUGGCAUAAUUCAACUCAUGAGGUCGAAGAUGACGUGAGGCAUAUGAAACAACUCUUCCAUCUUGCAUAAGUACACCUCCAAGUUCCAGGCGAGAAGUGUCACAAUACACUUGGAAAUCCUUGCGUAUAUCCGGAAGAAUUAGCACUGGGUUGUAACUAAAUGUUUCUUCAACUCCUAAAAACUGUCCUCACAUUCUUAGGUCCAUUUGAACUUGGUGUCCUGCUUCAACAACUCUGUCAUGGGCUUCGCAAUCUUGGAAACAUUCUCAAUGAACCUCCUAUAGUAUCCUGCGAGUCCAAGAAAACUGCGGAUCUCUCCAACUGAGGCGGGUGCCAACCACUCAGUGAUAGACUAAACCUUGGUAGGGUCUACAGCUAUACCUUCUCCUGAUAUAACAUGUCCAAGAAAUCCAACUUCUUUCAACCAAAAUUCACACUUGCUGAACUUGGCAUAUAGCUGAUGUUCUUUGAGCUUCUCGAGAACUAAGCGCAAAUGUUCCUUGUGUUCCUCUUCAUUCUUCGAGUACACCAAUAUAUUAUCAAUGAGCACCGCAACAAACUUAUCCAAGAACUCCAUGAACACCUUAUUCAUCAUACUCAUAAAAUAGGCAGGGGCGUUAGUGAAUCCAAAAGACAUGACCGUGUACUCAUAUAGCCCAUACCUUGUGGUAAAAGCUAUCUUGGGUAUAUCCUGUUCUCGGAUCUUUAGCUGGUGGUAUCCUGAUCAAAGAUCGAUCUUGGAGAAUACUUUGACUCCCUAUAGUUGGUCAAACAAAUCAUUGAUCAUUGGUAGUGGGUACUUGUUCUUGAUUGUUACUUCAUUCAAUGCAUGAUAAUCAACAACCAUUCUCAAAGAUCCAUCCUUCUUCUCAAAUAAGAGCACUCGGGCUCCCCACGGUGAUGAACUUGGUUGAAUACAACCUUUCUCCAAUAACUCCUUAAUCUGCUUCUUAAUUUCCUCUAGAUCAUUCACGGGCAUCCGAUAUGGUCUCUUCGAUAUUGGUCCGGUGCCUGGCAACAGCUUUAUCAAAAAUUCUAUGUCUCUAUCUGGUGGCAAGCCUGGUAAUUCCUCUAGAAAAACAUCAGGGUAAUCCAUCAUCAGAGGCACUUCCUCCUGAACAACUCCCAAGAGGGAAUUUACUUGGGUCCUCCUUGGCGCAUGCCUAGAUACAUUCUUGAUCCUUUUCCCCUCAGGGGUGGUGAGUAGUAUCGUCUUACUAGCAUAGUCGAUAUUUCCUCCAUACUUCGGUAACCAAUCCAUGCCUAGUAUUAUAUCCAAUCCUUGUGACUCCAAAAUUAUCAGUUUUGAGGGGAAACAUGGCUACCAAUGGUUAAAGGUAACCGAUCACACCAUCGGCUGGCCAUAUACUCUGCUCCUGGCAAGCUUACUAACAUGGGUGACCUAAGGGCUAAGGUUGGCAACUUAAACUUGUCCACAAAUCCCCUUGAUAUGUAUGAAUGUGAUGCGCCGGUGUCAAAUAAAAUGAGAGCGGUAAAUGACUUAAUCAAAAACUUACCAAUCACUGUGUCAGGCUGCUUUUCAACUUCCUCCACAUUGAUUUGGUUCACCUGACCUCUGGUGAAUGGAUUGGGCUUCUUUCCAGAGCUUCCAUUUUAGUUGCCAUUCUUCAACUCAGAACAAUCAUUGGCGUAGUGUCCAGUCUUCCCGCAUUUGUAAUAGGUGACAUGACUUAGGUCCUUCUUAGCGGGUGUUGCUGGGUUCGAACGGUUCUGGCUACUUCUUCCUCCAUUCCCAUUUCCAUUCUUAGGGCCACGUGGUUAUGUGAACUUCCUCCAUUAUGAGUAUGGCCUCCAUGAUUAUGAUGGGUAUGUCCUCCCGAGUUUGGGGUAAAGAGAGGCUUCUGCUGAGCUCCAGAAUUGUACUUCCCCUAUCCAUACUUCCUUUUGCGGCUCUCUACCUUCUGAUGCUUGCCUUCAAUCAUAAGAGCUCUGUCUACCAACUCCUGGUAGUUAGUGAAUGUUGCCACCAUCAACUGCAUACUCAGCUCAUCAUUCAACCCUUCCAUAAACCUCUCAUGCUUCGCGGCAUAUGUGGCCACAUCAUCUGGGGCAUAACAUGCUAACUUACUAAACUCAUCCACGUAUUGUGCCACAGUACAAUUUCCCUAGCGUAAGUUGUGAAACUCACGCUUCUUCAUACACAUAGCUCCAGCUGAGACAUGUGCUAUGCGGAAAGCUUGCUGAAACUGAUCCCAAGUGACAUUAGCCACGGGGAAAGUGGCUAUGUACUUCUCCCACCAUGAGGCUGUGGGUCCAUCCAGUUGAUGUGCGUCAAAGCGCACCUUCUCAGCAUCUGUUCAACUUGCGGUGGUCAGCUCCUUUCCAAUCUUGCAGAGCCAGUCACCAGCAACAAUCAGCUCGGUGCUACUAGAGAACACCAGCGGAUUCAACAUUAGAAACCAGGCUAAGUUGUCAACUGGAGGUGGUGGCGGUGGAUUGUUGUUGUUGUUGUUGUUGUUGUUGUUGUUGUUGUUGUUGUUGUUGUUGUUGUUGUUGUUGUUGUUGUUGUUGUUGCUGUUGUUGUUGCUGCUGGUGUUGUUGUUGUUGUUGUUNNNNNNNNNNNNNNNNNNNNNNNNNNNNNNNNNNNNNNNNNNNNNNNNNNNNNNNNNNNNNNNNNNNNNNNNNNNNNNNNNNNNNNNNNNNNNNNNNNNNNNNNNNNNNNNNNNNNNNNNNNNNNNNNNNNNNNNNNNNNNNNNNNNNNNNNNNNNNNNNNNNNNNNNNNNNNNNNNNNNNNNNNNNNNNNNNNNNNNNNNNNNNNNNNNNNNNNNNNNNNNNNNNNNNNUGCUGUUGUUGUUGUUGUUGUUGCUGUUGUUGUUGCUGUUGUUGCUGUUGGUGUUGUUGCUAUUGUUGUUGCUGUUGCUGUUGUUGCUGUUGCUGUUGUUGCUGAUGUUCAUUUCACACCACUCAAUUCAAACAAGAUCAUACAAUCGAUCUAAGCUACCAUUACAAAAUGCUCGGACUAUUACUAUAUACAUGGGGAAAUACUACUAAUAAUAUGGUGAUCGUCUAGAAAUUUUUAUCGGUGGAAGACUCGAUGAUAUCUGCUCCAGCUUCGUCUUCAUAAUCAUCAUCACUAUCAGGGUCGGAGUCGGUGUCGUCGAUUAUGAUGUAGUCUUCAGGAUGGUUGUCCUCCUCAGGUUCGGGAUCUCCCAUGAAUAUUCCUAGCUUUUUCUUCAGGUCUUGAUUCUUCUCCAGUAGUACUGCAAUUUCUUGUUCAUAUAUAUCGCAUGUAGACUUGAGUUCCUCUUCUAGCUCCAUGUUCCUGGUCAUCAAUUUCUUCAUGUCUAUCAUACUGGCGCACAUCUGGUUCUCCUGACGACGAAUGUGUUGGUUUAACUCCUGGAUGUAAGCUGCAAUGGAUUUAUCCCUCCUGGUGAAAAUCAUCUCCCAUUGCUCGUCUCGAAGUCCACAUAUCUGGUAGAUGGUGUCCUUAAGAUCCUUGUGGUAUACCUCGCCUAUGCGUCCAAUGGCGAUGUGGGCGGACAUGUUCUUUCCUAGACUUCAGGUUGGUGCAUCAAAGGAAAACUCUAUGGGCUCAGUAACUGGUGUGAAUGUCUUUCCUGGAACGUGUACUCGAAUCGUCCAGUGCUCUUCUUCAGGUAGAGUGGCGGUGUAGGUCCCCGUGUAGCUUGGUAAUCCGAUUCUCAGGUACCUAGUGACUUCCUUCAAGUGUCGUCCGAAACGGGUGUCGUCAUCCGGUUGAGCAAACUUGUUCCUUGAGUCCGCCAUCUAUAGAGUAGAAAAUGGAGAAGAGUCACAAAUGAGUAGAGAAGAGUAUCAUGUGGCUUAUCCUAGUGGUCGCGUCCUACAGUCGGCGUGUGCUCUGAUACCAUCUGGUAGCGACCCGACCUCAGACGGUCAAGUCUUUGUGCUUAAGUGUCAUCCCUGGAUCGGUAUUGCUGACACACACAGUACUCGAGGAUUUAUAACAGAGUUCAAUCACACCCUUAUUACAUUGAAUGUCUCAAAAGAGAACUUAUUACAAUAAUAUGGCUGAAGGCCAUCUAAAUAAGAUAACAGCGGAAGCUUCGAAGGUAGAAGAGUCCAUCCAACUCCACGGCAAAACUGAAUGCUUGACAACGACCUAACGCACCUUACUCUUCGUCUAAAAACUCUUCAACAUAAUACGUUGCAACCUGUGUAGGUCAGCAUAUGGAAUAUGCUGGCAAGAUAACACUAUAGAGCAAUGAACGAAUAACAACUAUCACUACAUGCAUAUAUGGCUAGUGGAGGCUCUAUGGUUAUCAUUUUGCAUAAAGCUAGUUUUCCCCUACAACAACGGAAUAUGAUUUAUUUAACUAUAAAGUUGGUUGAAAACAUUGAGAAGGUAACCCCAACUCAAUCCCAAUUUAAAAGUUUAAUAACCCGACUAAUUAAGUAGAGUGAUGAGAUCAACAUAAUAAUUCAAGUACCAGAUACUCAGGAUGUCCAUAACCAGGGACACGGCUAACCAUGAUUAGUUUAUACAUUCUGCAGAGGUUUGCGCACUUUUCCCCACAAGACUCGAUCUCCUCCGUUGGAUUUCUCGCACUACAGGGUGUUCGAGAAACGGAUGAUCGAGACACAGUAUUUCAGAAGAGUUAGCUCGUUACGACGGGUAGAUAGUACCACCUAUAUCCCCUACAUCUGCUAGUCUACCACUAUAAGAGGUCACACAACAUACUCAACUAUGCCAGAGCCCAUAAUGGCUUGUGGCUGCACACGGAAGUUUCCAACAUAAAUAACAUAAUGAUCGCUUUAAGCCUGGGUGGCAAACCAUAGGAAAAUCACACGGAUAACCCAGGAUCUCCUUGGACAACACUGGAUUCCCCAGGUGCCCACAAACCAAUCCACCCAGAUGUGUAUUAAAGUAGCCACAUUAAGUUAAACCUUAGUUAACAAUAAUCUCUCACAUCUUUCAUGAAUUCUCUCAAACCAAACCACGUCUACGAGCAUAGCAUAGCAGUAUAAGCAUACAUAGUAAAUACCCAGGGUUUGAAAGUAAGACAAUAUGUACUGCCUCAUCAACUACUUCCUAAUACCCACAUGUUAAUCAAAUCCUACUCAUGCAAUGUUUAAGGGUUGAAACUAAUGCAUAAAAACUGGGUAAUAAAGGGAUAUGAUCAAAGUGUUACUUGCCUUGCUGGCGAUCGGAAAACCCUAGAUAUUCGUAGUAGCAUGCUCUGCACUCUGGAAACUCUAUCAUGAACAAACAAUAGCAUACAUAAGCACUCAAGCAUAAUAUGCAAAAAGUAAAACCCAAAAGAAAAGAUCCAAACUGAAAGUUCAAGUGAAGAGCUUCGAUUUGCAAAAAGAAUCAAUCGAAUUGGAGCUACGAAACUCAAACUAUGAUCAAAAGAAGUUCAAAAACAAUUCUGCUUGAAACUAAAUUUUAAAUUGUCAAAACCAUGUUCAAGUGGAUUAUUUGGAAAGAGGGGAACAAGACGAAGAUUUUGGCGUUGGUUUCACUGGAUUUGGAUAAACGAGCAAAAAGUAGUGAAUGUUUGAAGAUCAGGGACUAAUCUGCGAUAAAAGUAUUUCUGGAUAGGUCCCUGCCCGAAAAAUAAAACUAAAAAGAAAAACCUAAUGAACGAACGUUCGUCAACAGAAACUAACGAACGAACAUGUUCGCUAACAGAGAGAAAUGGCUGAACGUUCGCUAACUAGCGAACCCUAAAAAAAUAAAACCGAUCUAAACGAAUAAACCGAAAAAACCGGGGCGAGUUUUCACGGUUUUUUCCGGUUCGACGGUUUUCGACGGAUAAACGACAGCGGAUCCGGGCGGUGGCGGUUGCGGUGGCUCCAGCGAAUGGCGCGUCGGCGGGGCUGCGGGGUGGGGCGGUGUGGGCGGCAGCGGCGGCGCGGGGNNNNNNNNNNNNNNNNNNNNNNNNNNNNNNNNNNNNNNNNNNNNNNNNNNNNNNNNNNNNNNNNNNNNNNNNNNNNNNNNNNNNNNNNNNNNNNNNNNNNNNNNNNNNNNNNNNNNNNNNNNNNNNNNNNNNNNNNNNNNNNNNNNNNNNNNNNNNNNNNNNNNNNNNNNNNNNNNNNNNNNNNNNNNNNNNNNNNNNNNNNNNNNNNNNNNNNNNNNNNNNNNNNNNNNNNNNNNNNNNNNNNNNNNNNNNNNNNNNNNNNNNNNNNNGGCAGCGGCUCGGCUGCGGCAGCGGGGCUGCGGGUUUGGUGGAGGUAGAGGGGGCGGUGGUGGCGGCAUAUAAAGGGGGGAAAGGGAGGCGGCGGGGUGGUUUGCGGGAGGGGCGGUGUCCCCGUGUCCUGGUCGGACACGGCGACGGCGGCGGGCGAACUCGGGACUCCGGUCCCGAGCCGGAGGAAGGUGGCAGCGCGCUAGGCCGUGGCCCGGCUACAGCUGGGCCGGCCCAGGAAGAAGUUUUUUUACAAAAAAAUCCGCCGUGAAAAUAAAAAAAUCCUAAUAAAAUAUUAAAAAGUUCCAGAAACAAUUUUCACCGUCCAAACCUAAUGUUUUUAGGACAAGAUGAACAUUUUUGUGGACUAAAAUGCAAUUUUCAAAGAUGCAUGUUUUUUCUCUAAUUCAAAUAAAAUAGCAAAUAAAAUACAAAUAAAAAUAAUUUGAUUUUAAAAUUUCUUCUCCAAUGUUUCUCUUCUGUUUGGAGAAGUCAUUUUAUCUUCUCUCAUUUAUUUUUGUUAUUGGAAAUAAUUGGAGAGAAAAUAUUAAAACCAAAUUGAUCCCCUUUUCAAAUUUGAAACUGAAUUCAAAUAUGAAAAUUUGUGAAUCCUCCAACUCUCUCCUUGAGUCCUUGAGUUGCUUAAGAUUUCUAGGAUCACAACCAAAUGCAAAUAAAAAAUGAUAUGCAUAUGAUGAUCUGUGUAUAACAUCCAAAUUGAAAAUUGGGAUGUUACAAGCAAAGUGUCAAAGGAGAGUUUCGUCAGCACGAUGGCAUGGUGAUGGUGAUGGUGAAGCAAUCCACGUACGUAGGGCUUCGCCUAAGCACUACGUGAAUAUGACCGGAGGCGUAAACUGUGGAGGGGGGCGCCGCACACGGCUAACAGAUGUUUGUGUGUCCUCUAGGCGCCCCCUCACUACAUAUAUAGGUUGGAGGGGGGAAGUGGCAGAUAGGGGGCACCCAAGUAGGCCAAAACCUACUUGGAUUCCCACCCUAAUUCGCCCCUUCCUUGUUUUGGCACUAGGAGGAGGAAGGAGGAUGUGCCCCCCUUUCCUUUCUCCCUUGAGAAGGGGAAGGAAAGAGGGGCUAGCCCUCCUCCCUUGCCUUCCCUAGGGCUGGCCAGCCUGGUGGAGGGCCGCACCAGCCCACUAUGGCCUGGUCUGUCCCCUUAGGCCCAUUAAGCCCAUAUAGCUUGUCGAGGGUUGCCCGGAACCCCUUCCGGUGACCCGAUACGUACCCAGUACCCCGGGAACACUUCCAAUGUCCAAAUACUAUCGUCCUAUAUAUGAAUCUUUACCUCUCGACCAUUUCGAGACUCCUCGUCAUGUCUGUGAUAUCAUCCGGGACUCCAAACAACAUUCGUUCACCAAAUCACAUAACUCAUAUAAUACAAAAUCGUCAUCGAAUGUUAUGCAUGCGGACCCUACAGGUUCGAGAACUAUGUAGACAUGACCGAGACACCUCUCCGGUCAAUAACCAAUAGCGGAAUAUGGAUUCUCAUAUUGGUUCCUACAUAUUCUAUGAAGAUCUUUAUCGGUUGUACCGUAAUGAUAACAUACUCCCUCCUUCCAUCCAUAUAGGGCCUAAUGCGUUUUUCAAGAUCGCCUUUGACUAUUGACAAGAUUAAUAGUAUAUGAAAUGUAUAAUGUGAAAAUUAUAUCAUUGGAAGAUCAUACGAAUUUGACAGUAUGCUUUGUGUAAGUUGCAUGUCAUAUAUGCUCUAAUAUUUGGUCAAACUAAGCCUCAAAAAACAUAUUAGGCCCUAUAUAGAUGGAAGGAGGGAGUACGUUAUUCCCUUUGUCAUCGGUAUGUUACUUGCGCGAGAUUCGAUCGUCGGUAUCUUCAUACCUAGUUCAAUCUCGUUACCGGCAAGUCUCUUUACGCGUUCCGUAAUGCAUCAUCCCGCAACUAACUCAUUACUCACAUUGCUUGCAAGGCUUAUAAUGAUGUGCAUUACCGAGAGGGCCCAGAGAUACCUUUCUGAUACUCGGAGUGACAAAUCCUAAUCUCGAUCUAUGCCAACCCAACAAACACCUUCGGGGAUACCUGUAGAGCAUCUUUAUAUUCACCCAGUUACGUUGUGACGUUUGAUAGCACAUAAGAUAUUCCUUCGGUAUCCGGGAGUUGCAUAAUCUCAUAGUCAAAGGAAUAUGUAUUUGACAAGAGGAAAGCAAUAGCAAUAAAACUUAACGAUCAUUAUGCUAAGCUAACGGAUGGGUCUUGUCCAUCACAUCAUUCUCCUAAUGAUGUGAUCCCGUUCAUCAAAUGACAACACAUGUCUAUGGCUAGGAAACUUAACCAUCUUUGAUUAAUGAGCUAGUCUAGUAGAGGCUUACUAGGGACACUGUGUUUUGUCUAUGUAUCCACACAUGCACUACAAAAAAAGACACAUCCGUGACAUUUUGGGCCGAACAAUUUUUUUUUCUGUCAUACAUAUGACACUUCUAUGACGAUAAUUGUGACAAAACCCGAUAUCAUCAUAGAUAUGGUGGGCUCCUACUUCUAUGACAAAAAAUCAUGACAGAAAAUGGGCUUUUAGUCCUGGGCGGGCCGGAGACACAGCUGCAUGACAUUCUUUGGGCCGUCCAUGACGGAAAAAACUGUGGUAGAAGCGAGGGGGAGGAAAAUUUCGGGGAGUUCCCGGUUACGGUGGGAGGUUGGGACCGAGCGAUGCGCGUUUCUCUCGUACACGUACGCGCGUGUGUGCGAGGCGUUGGCUCUAACUGAACCCGAGCGAGGCGUUGGGCUCCAACUGAACCCAAGCGAUUGCAGUGCAGGCUACGUGUUACUGAACCCGAGCGAUCGAUCGAUGGCUAUUAACUGAACCGAUCGAGCGAUUCCUUCGCUACUGCUGCUAACUGAAGCCGAUCGAUGCUGCCUCUGGAUGAACAGUGAGCGUUGCGGGGGGAGGGGGGGUUGGAUGAACAUUUCCCUGUGGGGGUGGAUGAACAGGACCCCGUGGUGUUGCCUCUGGAUGAACAGGACCCCGAUCGAUCGAGCCGGUUGGGGCUAGAUGAACAGGACCCCGUGGAGGGCUGGAUGAACAGGACCACCCCGUGGAGGGCAGGAUGAACAUUAGACGGUGGAGGGCAGGAUGAACAGUAGCCCGUGGAGGGGUGGUUGAACAAGAGCCCGUGGAGAGGGCUGGUUGAAUAGUAGCCGGUGGAGUAGCGCGCGGCGGAGGCUGGAUGAACAGGAGCCCGUGGAUGAACAGUCGCAGGUGGAGGCUGGAGGAGGUCGACGGUGGAUGAACAGUAGCUCAUGGAGGCUGGAGGGAUUCGACGGUGGAGAUGAACAGUAUCCCGUGGAGUCCCGUUUUGCGGUACGCCACACCCCUCCCGAUGAACAGGACCCCCGUUUCGACCGUAGCUCUCCAACACAAGUCUGUUUCGUCCGUUUUGCUGUACGCCACACCCCACCCGAUCAACAAGACCCCCGUUUCGACCGUAGGAGGUCCGUUUCCUCCGUUUUGAGGUAUGCCAGACCCCUCCCGAUGAACAGGAUCCCGUUUCAAACGUGGCCGGUCGAACACAAGGCCGUUUCCUCUUUUCCACGGUACGCCAGGCCUUGUUUCCAUCGCAUGUUCCGUCCAAGCCCUCCCGAUGAACACGACGCAUUUCGUUGCCUCCCCAUGAACACGAUGCAUUCCGUUGCCUCCCCAUGAACAUGAGGCAUUCCGUUGCCUCCCCAUGAACACGACGACGACGCUGUUUCUCUGUUCCGACCCAGCCAUGUACACGAGCCAUGGCCGUACGUAUGCGCGAGUAGGCGUUCAAGACCCCGCCCGUAUGUACACAUACGUGGCCGUAUUUUCUUUCUUGCACCCUGGCCGCCUCUACUACGACACAUGCGCGCCUCUACAUCGACCAGUAUAUAUGUACGUACACAUUCGCGACCAGAAUGACAACGCUACGUAUGCUUCGACCAGGUGGGUCCCGACUGUCAGGCACUUCCUUGCGUGCGAAGAUGUAGCUGGUGGGUCCCAGCAGUCAGGGGGGCGAAAUACGGUAGCCCGUCCGGUGGGUCCCGCUGUCAGGUGGAGGAAUAAUUAUUUUGCACGUAAUAAGGAGGCACUUCCUUGCUGUGGCCGUGGACCCAGCUGUCAGCCUCUCCACGUACAGUCCAUGUCCGAUGGAAGCCGUUCCUUGACCACGUUGACCACGCCGCACCGAGAGCACCAGGGCGGUGGACGGCGGCGAGGCCUAGGAAGGGGACGACGCGGCAGUGGAUGCCCACGCGUAGAGGAGUAUGAGGGUUCACUGGUUCGCUGCGGUGUGAGGCUGCCGUCGCCGCAGAAUAACAGGGGGUGUGGGUGAGUAGAGGGAUGGCCUGGCCAGCGGUGGGAGUAGUUGGGGGCGGUGAGGCCUCCGCCGCAUCGCAGCCGGCCAUGGGAGGCAGGAGCACGAGGCACGACCGACGCUGGUUUGGGUGGCUGGAGCAAGAAGACCAGAGGUUGAAGAAGCACUACGGCCGUUGGAUGGACAUCGUACGGUCACUGGAGCUAGAAUCGUGCAUAUUGACUAAGUUGACAAAGCCCUCCGUCCCCGUCAACUUAGUAGGCCCACAAGUCAGUCUGCCACUAUACUGGGUCCCAGCUAACAAGGGGAGUAUUCAUUUUUUUGUGCGUAAUAAGGAGGCACUUCCUUGCGUGCGAAGAUAUAGCUGGUGGGUCCGAGUUGUCAGUGGCGGUAAUGUUUUUUCGUGAAACACAGAGGCCCUUUCGGUGGGUCCCCGAUGUCAGGUGGAGGAAUCAUUAUUUUGCGCGUAAUACAGAGGCAUUUCCUUGCGUGCGGCCAUGGACCCAGCUGUCGGCCUCUCCACAUAAAGUCCAUUUCAAAUGCAUGUCGGUCGUUGACCACGUUGACCAGGCUGAGCUGAGAGCACCAGGGCGGUGGACGACGGCGAGGCCUAGGAAGGGGAUGACAUGGUGGCAGGGAAGAGUCGGCAGUUGUUUCCUACGCGGAGGGGAGUAUGACUAUACGAGGGUUUACUGGUUCGUCUACCAUCGCUGGAGAAUAACAGCAGGUGUGGGUGAGUAGAGGGAUGGCUAGGCUAGCUAUGGGAGUACAUUUGGGCGGUGAGGCCUAUGCGGCAGCACAGCCGGCCGCGAGGAGGAGGGAGCAGGCAGUCCCGCUGGUGCUUGUUUGAGCGGCUGGAGCAGGAAGAACAGAGAUUGAAGAAGCACGACGGCCUUUGGAUGGACAUCCAACAGUCAGUGCUUGUGCGUCAACCUUUUUUUAGGAAAGCCUCAAAUCUGUGGAAAACAAUAUACAACCCAUCUGCCAUUAUUUCUAAUAAUUUAUAGCUCAUUUGCUAAUUCUUAAGGUUUUUUUGGAGCUCGUAUUCUUUUUGUUAGCAUUACAGCCCAUAUUGUGACAAUUGUUAAAAAAUUAUACGAAAUUUUGCAUAUUUCGGUGCGGUCCAAACUGUUUUUAAUCCCGAAAUUUUGACUCUCAUUCAAACUGAUUUUAAAAAUGAAUGUAUAUCAAUAUAAAAUCCAACAAAUUCUCCACGCAUAAAAAUUAAUGUAAUUUAAAAUCUUGAAAUGAAAAAAAUAUAUUUGAAACUAAUUGCCAGUUUGAUGUGUUUUAAAAAUGUACAACCCAUUUCUCAUUACUGAUGGGCCAUUUUCUCGGCCAGCCGAAUGAAAGCUCUUCCCGUCUUGAAAGAUUUGCAGCCCAACAGGCCUGACAAAGCGACUUACUUGGCAAAUCACAAAAAAACUGGGCUGUGGCCGUGGACCCAGCUGUCAGCCUCUCCACGUAUAGUACUCUUCCGAUGGAAGUCGUUCCUUGACCACGUUGACCACGCCGUGCGGAGAGCACCACGGUGGUGGACGACAGCGAGGCCUAGGAAGGGGACGACGCGGAGCCAGGGAAGACGCGGCAGUGGAAGCCCACGCGGAGAGGACUACGAGGGUUCACUGGUUCGGCUGCGGUGUGAGGCUGCCAUCGCCGCAGGGCCUGGCCAGCGGUGGGAAUAGUAGGGGGCGGUGAGGCCUCUACGGGAGGCAUGACCGACGCAGCUUUGGGCAGCUGGAGCAAGAAGACCCGAGGUUGAAGAAGCACUACGGGCCUUGGAUGGACAUCGUACGGUCACUGGAGCUAGAAUCGUUCAUAUUGACUAAGUUGACAAAGCCCUUCAUCCCCGUCAACUUAGUAGGCCCACAAGUCAGCCACCCAGCAAGGUGGGUCCCAGCUAGUCGGGGGAGUAUUCAUUUUUUUGUGCGUAAUAAGGAGGCACUUUCGGUGGGUCCGAGAUGACAGCGGGGGGAACGCUUUUUCGCGAAAUACGAUAGCCCAUCCGGUGGGUCCCAGCAGUUAGGGGAAACGAUUUUUUUCGCAAAAUACUGGUGGCCCGUCCGGUGGGUCCCCGCUGUCAGGUGGAGGAAUAAUUAUUUUCCGCGUAAUAAGGAGGCACUUCCUUGCGGCUGCCGUGGACCCAGCUGUCAGCCUCUCCAUGUAUAGUACUCUUCCGAUGGAAGUCGGUUGUUGACCACAUUGACCACGCCGCGCCGAGAGCACCACGGCGGUGGACGGCGGCGAGGCCUAGGAAGGGGAUGACACGGAGCCGUGCAAGACGCGGCAGUGGAUGCCCACGCGGAGAGGAGUACGAGCGUUCACUGGUUCGGCUGCGGUGUGAGGCUACCGUCGCCGCAGAAUAACAAGGGGUGUGGGUGAGUGGAGGGAUGGCCUGGCUAGUGGUGGGAGUAGUAUGGGGGCGGUGAGGCCUCCGCGGUAGCACAGCCGGCCACGGGAGACAGGAGCAGGCGGCACGACCGGCGCUGUUUGGGCGGCUGGAGCAAGAGGACCAGAGGUUGAAGAAGCACUAUGGCCAUUGGAUGGAUAUCAUACGAUCACUGGAGUAUUGACUAAGUUGACAAAGCUCUCCGUCCCUAUCAACUUAGUAGGCCCACAAGUCAGCCCAACAACAUGGUGGGUCCCAGCUAGCAGGGGGGUAUUCAUUUUUUUGGGCAUAAUAAGGAGGCACUUCCUUGCGUGCGAAGAUAUAGCUGGUGGGUCUGACCUGUCAGCGGGGGGAACAUUUUUUUCACGAAAUACAGAGGCCCUUCAUGUGGGUCCUAGCUGUCAGGUGGAGGAAUCAUUAUUUUGCGCGUAAUAAGGAGGCAUUUCCUUGCGUGCGCCCGUGGACCCAGCUGUCAGCCUCUCCACGUACAGUCCAGUUCCGAUGGAUGUCGUUCAUUGACCAUGUUGACCAGGCCGCGCCGAGAGCACCAGGGCGGUGGACGACAGCAAGGCCUAGGAACAUAACGACACGGAGCCAGGGAAUACUCGGCAGUUGUUUCCCACACGGAGGAGUACAAGGGUUUGCGGUUCGCCUGCCGUCGCCGGAGAAUAACAGCAGGUGUGGGUGAGUAGAGGGAUGGCUAGGCCAGCGAUGGGAGUACGGUGGGGCCGUGAGGCCUGCGCGGCAGCAUAGCCGGCUGCGGGAGGAGGGAGCAUGCGGUCCCGCCGGCGCUUGUUUGAGCGGCUUGAGCAUGAAGAGCAGGGAUUGAAGAAGCACGACAGCCGUUGGAUGGACAUCCAACAGUCACUGCUCUCGUGUGUUGACUAAGUUGACAGGGCGUUGCGUGUGCGUCAACCUUUUUUUUAUGAAAGCAUAUGCGUCAACCUGUAGUAGGCGCACAAGUCAGCCUCAAAUCUAUGGAAAGCAGCAUACAUCCCAUCUGCCAUUAUUUCUAAUAAUGUACAGUCCAUUUGCUAAUUCGUAAGAAUUUUUUUUGGAGCCCAUCUUCUUUUUGUUAGCAUCACACCCCAUAUUGUGGCCACGGUUAAAAAGUAUAUGGAAUUUUGCUUAUUUCCGUGCGGUCAACUGUUUUUAAUCCAGAAAUAUCGAUUCACAUUCAAUCUAUUUUGAAAAAUAAUUUAUAUAAAUAUAAAAUCCAAAUAAUUGUCCACGCAUAAAAAUCAAUGGAAUUUAAGAUCUUGUAAUGAAAAAAAUUGAAACUAAUUCCCGGUUUGAUGUGUUUUAAAAAUGUACAACCCAUUUCUGGGCAAACCGAAUGAAACUCUGCUCGUCUUGAAAGAUUUGCAGCCCAGCAGGGCCGAUAAAGCAAGUAGGCCUUGUUUGGGUAUUUCUUUUAAAAAAUAGAACUGGGCUAGCCAUUUUUCAGCAAGAAAAAAACACAACUGGGCUCAUGAUGUGGUAAACAUAAAUAAAACCCUGGCUAGAUGGGCCACAGCCCCCGCACAACCCCGUUGUUACCCUGAUCUGUCGCAAAAACUAGUAUAAAUAACAACUGCUUGUUCCUAAAAAAACGCGCGACUUGCUGGGUCCCUCGUGUCAGCCACUCGUAGUGUAAUUUUCUCGUUUAUUGACUAGUUGACAAUGGCGUGAGCCCCAGAUGUCCAACCAUUAGGAUGAACCAUAUUUUUGGGCUUGUACUAUAGAGGCACUUGCUUGCGUACUGCCAUGACGCUGGUGGGUCCCUACUGUCAUCCUCUCCACGUACAGUCAUCUCCUUGUUCCUCUUGGUUGUUGACGACGUUGACAACGCAAGAGGGCGGCGCACCGCGCACGGCGAGCGAACUAAGUCCGCAAGGCGGAGGACGAGGCGAGGCCUCGGAUGGAACGAACAGGAGCCGUUCAAGAUGCGCCGGUCCAGUCGCAGGCGGAGGGGAGUGCGAGGGUUGACUGGUUCGGGCGCGGGUGCGUGUUGGGGCUGACGUUGCCGGAGAAUAAUAGGACGUGUGGGGGAAUAGAGGGAGGGACUGGCCAACGUUGGAGGGUAUGUACGGUAGGGCGGCGGAGGCGCAGCCAGCCAUGGGAGGCGGGAGCAGGCAGAGCCGACGGGGUGGUUUGGUUUGGGCGAUUGGAGGAAGAAGAAGACAAGAGAUAGAAGAUACACGGCAGAUGUUGGAUGUCAAUCCAACGGCUGGUAGGCAGAAUCGUUUGUUGACUGGCUAGUAAGUCGACACCACCUUGCAUAGGCUAUUUCCUUGCGGGUCCCAAAUGUCAGAAUCCAAAUCUGUCACGGUCAUGCAGCCUUUCCUAUGAAAAUUUACAGCCCAUUUGAUAUGCUAGUUCGAAAUAAGUUUGUGGGUGCUGGUGGGGGCUAAUCACUUGGCUUCUGUAAUGCACAGUGAGCUCAAGCAGCCGGCGAGAGUGAUGUUAUUUCCCUUGGUUUAGAUUUGUUACAAUAUUUCACUCUAAAUUAAACGAAUGGCAAGCCAUUUGCCUUGUUUCAAAGAAAAUAUGACAGUCACAGCCGAGUUGAAAAGGGCAGGAACAUCUAACUCCAGCUUACAAACUGUACAAAAGCACGAGGGUUAAUUGUUCAUCAGGUUUACAAAAAAACCAGAUUGAAAAGGGCAACAACAUCUAACUCCAGCACUAUUUUCGGCAGUCACAGUCAAAUGGAUCGGUCAGGUCCAUAGUAUGAACAUCCUGGGUCGUAAAAUUUACUGGAUUAUGACCACAAUAUGUUGUAAAUAGAAGCCCGGCACGUUCAGAAGUUCUUUUGCCCACCUGAAACUCCUUUUUUGCUCUUUGACAUACCCAUCCGUCAAAACCAUGCUGUUGAUAAACUUAAGCCUGAUGGACAAUAGUAACCUCGCAUUCAGCAGGAAGAAUGUGACAAAUCUUGUGUUUGCACGGUUGGCUACAUAUCGUUCUAACGUUAUUGUCUUCAAUCAAAUCUGAUGAGAAGUGAGAAAAUCCCGAUGCUUACGAAUCCACCGAUUGGUUAUAACUUUCUUGCCCUAUCAUGUUGCCUAAAUAGACAUGAAGAUUGAAAACAGUUAAGGUCUAAAAGAAGAGUGUCGAAAGAGAAACAGCUGAACGGUUAAUUCUAGUACACUAUAUGCGGGCUUCCAAUGUGCGUGAAAUUAUCACCUUUAUAUACAACUUCUCCAGACAUGGAAAGCAUUGCAGCAAGCUAAUAAUCUUAUUCAGAUCAAAACUAUUCAUUUGGAUAUAUAAGAUCUUGAUAGAAUCCAGCACCAUUGAUAGGCCAUCCAUGGAGAAACUCUUCAUUGAGCAUAGAACAUAAUAUUAGUACAAAAUGUGUACUCCAAGCUGAUAUAUAAAUUAUGCACAAAAAUUUAAAAUGCAUCUUAUGGUUACAAGUGUAGAGGAUAAUAUAAAGUACCUGAAGAACUGUGGAGCCAAACACCAUAUUGAAAUGAGCACAAAGAUCAUGUAUUACACCCAAGGUCUCCAGUUUAGGCGCAGAGAGGACGGUUAUUUGCAACGGUGAAUAACUAGAAUCAAGGAUCAACCUUUGAAGUGAAGGGGCAUCUUGGAUGAUGAGCUUCCUUCCGUCAAAAGAAAUUCCAAUUCUUACAAGGUUAGGCGACUUUAUUUGGAGACAACCGAUUCUAAAUGUGAAAACAAGCACCAAGCACUCCAGCACAGGGCAACUGGAGUGGAUGAUGUUGUGCAAUGAGGCCUCCGAUAUACGAACCCGCACAAGUGAAAGUUUCUUGAGAAAUGGGAGUCGAAGGUUUAGUACCAGAUUGUCUGGUAGGUAGCACUGCGUAAAGGUGGCGGUUGAUACGUCUCCGUCGUAUCUACUUUUCCAAACACUUUUGCCCUUGUUUUGGACUCUAACUUGUAUGAUUUGAAUGGAACUAACCCGAACUGACGCUGUUUUCAGCAGAAUUGCCAUGGUGUUUGUUUUAUGUGCAGAAAACAAAUAUUCUCGGAAUGACCUGGAACUCCACGGAACAUCUUAGAAAAAAUAAUAAAAAAUCCUUGCCAAAGAUGAAGACCAGGGGGCCCACACCCUUCUAACGAGGGUGGGGGGCACCCCCCCAGGGCGCGCCCCCUACCUCGCGGGCCCCCUGGAUGCCCUCCGACGCCAACUCCAACUCUAUAUAUUUGCUUUCGGAGAGAAAAAAUCAGAGAGAAGAAAUCAUCGUGUUUUACGAUACGGAGCCACCGCCAAGCCCUAAAACCUCUCGGGAGGGCUGAUCUGGAGUCUGUUCGGGGCUCUAAAGAGGGGGAUUCGUCACCGUCUCCAUCAUCAACCAUCCUCCAUCACCAAUUUCAUGAUGCUCACCGCCGUGCGUGAGUAAUUCCAUCGUAGUAUUGCUGGACGGUGAUGGGUUGGAUGAGAUUUAUCAUGCAAUCGAGUUAGUUUUGUUAGGGUUUGAUCCCUAGUAUCCACUAUGUUCUGAGAUUGAUGUUGCUAUGACUUUGCUAUGCUUAAUGCUUGUCACUAGGGCCCGAGUGCCAUGAUUUCAGAUCUGAACCUAUUAUGUUUUUAUGAAUAUAUGUGAGUUCUUGAUCCUAUCUUGCAAGUCUAUAGUCACCUACUAGUUAUGAUCCAGCAACCCCAAAGUGACAAUAAUCGGGACCACUCCCGGUGAUGACCAUAGUUUGAGGAGUUCAUGUAUUCACUAUGUGCUAAUGCUUUGCUCCGGUUCUCUAUUAAAAGGAGGCCAUAAUAUCCCUUAGUUUCCAAUAGGACCCCGCUGCCACGGGAGGGUAGGACAAAAGAUGUCAUGCAAGUUCUUUUCCAUAAGCACGUAUGACUAUAUACAGAAUACAUGACUACAUUACAUUGAUGAAUUGGAGCUAGUUCUGUGUCCCCCUAUGUUAUGACUGUUACAUGAUGAACCGCAUCUGGCAUAAUUAUCCAUCACUGAUCCGGUGCCUACGAGUUUUCCAUAUACUGGUCCUCACUUAUUUACUUUCCCGCUGCUACUGUUACAAUCACUACAAAAUACCAAAAACAUUACUUUUGUUGUCUUUACUUUUGUUGCUGCUACUACCACUAUCAUAUUACUGUGCUACUAAACACUUUGCUGUAGAUACUAAGUUUCCAAGUGUGGUUCAAUUGAAAACUCAGCUGUUAAUACUUGAGAAUAUUCUUUGGCUCCCCUUGUGUCGAAUUAAUAAAUUUGGGUUGAAUACUCUACCCUCGAAAGCUGUUGCGAUCCCCUAUACUUGUGGGUUAUCAAGACCAAUUUCUGGUGCCGUUGCCGGGGAGCAUAACUCUAUUCUUUGAGUCACUUGGGAUUUAUAUCUGCUUAUCACUAUGAAGAACUUGAGAGAUCCAAAAACCAAGAUCUAUCCCUCAACUACGAGGGGAGGUAAGGAACUGCCAUCUAGCUCUGCACUUGAUUCACCUUCUGUUAUGAGUAAGUUUGCGACACCUACACCUGCUUCUGCUAUUCGUUCUGAUAUGUCGCAUGUUAUUGAUGAUGCCACUUCUGCUAUGCAUGAUACUUAUGAUGAAACUGCUUCUAUGCUUGAUACUACUGUGCCCCUUGGUGAAUUUCUUGAUGAACAAAUUGCUAGGGCUAGAGAAAAAGAAAUUAUUGAAUCUGAAUACGUUGAUGAUAGUGAUGCUGAAAAUAUGACUGUUAUUCCUGAGGGUUAUCUUUUUGAUAUGGAAUCUUCUAUCGCUAUUUUAGCUUGCAAAGAUAGAUAUGAGCUUAAGAGGUUAUUAAUUAAAUGGAACAACGAAUCACUUAGACAUAAAAUGAAACCCGACCCUGCUUUUGCUACUUCACCUAUUUGUGUUCCCGAUAAGGAUUAUGAAUUCUCUGUUGAUCCUGAUAUAAUUACUCUGGUUGAAUCUGAUCCGUUUUAUGGCUAUGAAUCUGAAACUAUUGUGGCACAUCUUACUAAGUUAAAUGAUAUAGCCGCCCUGUUUACUAAUGAUGAGAGAUCACGUUACUUUUAUAUACUCAAAAUAUUUCCGUUCUCAUUAAAGGGUGAUGCUAAGAUAUGGUUUAAUUCUCUUGAUUCUGGUUGGGUGCGUAGUCCCCAGGAUAUGAUUUAUUACUUCUCUGCUAAAUAUUUCUCUGCUCAUAAGAAACAAGCUACUUUGAGGGAAAUACACAACUUCGUGCAAAUUAAAGAAGAGAGUCUCCCACAAGCUUGGGGGAGGCUUCUCAAGUUACUUAAUGCUUUGCCUGAUCAUCCUCUUAAGAAACCUGAAAUACUUGAUAUCUUUUAUAAUGGACUAACCGAUGCUUCCAGAGAUUACCUAGAUAAUUGUGCUGGUUCUCUUUUCAGGGAAAGAAGACCGGAUGAAGCUGAAAUUCUAUUGAAUAAUAUGUUGACAAAUGAAAAUAAUUGGGCACCUCCUGAGCCAGCUCUUGAGCCAACUCCUGCUCCAAUUACUGAACCUAUUCCUAAACCAACUCCAAAGAAGAGAGGUGUUCUAUUUCUCAGUCCCGAAGAUAUGCAAGAGGCAAAGAUUGCAAAGAAAUCUAUGAAAGAGAAAGGUAUUAAAGCUGAAGAUGUUAAGAAUUUACCUCCUAUUGAAGAAAUACAUGGUCUUAAUAUACCGCCUGUUGAAGAAACCUAUGAUCUCAAUUCUUUAUUUACUGAAGAACCUCCUGAUCCCGAUAUCCCGACACAGGUAGUAAAGGUAAAUUCUCUCUAUAGAUAUGAUAAAGCUGAAGUCUCUCCUACUAAAAUUGCUAGUCAGUGCUUGGAUGAGUUUGAUAACUUUAUGUUUAAGCAAGACGACUUCAAUGCUUAUUUUGGUAGACAAUUAAAAGAAAAUUCUUAUGUGAUUAGACGCUUGGGUGAUUAUAUGGCUAAUAUUAAAGGUGAACUUAAACUUGUUAGCAAACAUGCUUCUAUGGUUACCACUCAAGUAGAACAAGUACUUAAGGCUCAAAAAGAAGUGCUUGAUGAAAUGAAUAGUAAGAAAAAUGAUUAUGCUAUUAGAGUGGCUACUAGAACUGGUAGAAUGACUCAGGAACCUUUGUAUCCUGAAGGCCACCCUAAGAGAAUCGAGCAAGAUUCUCAAAGAAAUAAUAUUGAUGUUCCUAGUUCUUCUAAAAAGAAGAAGAAGAAAAAUGAUAGAACUAUGCAAACUUCUAGUGAACCUAUUGCUGAACCACCUGAUAAUCCAAAUGAUAUUUCUAUGUCUGAUGCUGAAACACAAUCUGGUAAUGAACAUGAACCUAAUGAAAAUAUUAAUGAUGAUGUUCAUGAUGAUGCUCAACCUAGUAAUGACAAUGAUGUAGAAGUUGAACCUUGGGAACAUGGUAAAGAAAGGGAACCGUGGGUUCAGAAACCCAUGCCUUUUCCUACGAAACCAUCCAAGAAAAAGGAUGAUGAGGAUUUUGAGCACUUUGCUGAAAUGAUUAGGCCUAUCUUUUUGCGUAUGAGAUUAACUGAUGUGCUCAAAACAAAUCCUUAUGCUAAAUAUAUGAAGGAUAUCAUUACUAAUAAAAGAAAGAUACCGGAAGCUGAAAUAUCCACCAUGCUUGCUAACUAUACUUUUAAGGGUGGAAUACCAAAGAAACUUGGAGACCCCGGAGUACCUACUAUACCUUGCUCCAUUAAAAGAAAUUAUAUUAAAACUGCUUUAUGUGAUCUUGGAGCCGGUGUUAGUGUUAUGCCUCUCUCUUUAUAUCGUAGACUCACUACAAGAAAUAUGUCAACUUGUGACCUUCUGUGAGUGACCCUGGAAGAAUUGGUCAUAGAUCUAUGACCAUUUCAGACCAAUUGGUCAAAAGUUGUUCGGGGGCUCCAAAACCUAAACUAUAACGACCAUUUUGGUCAGAAAGGUCGUAAUUUCCUUACACAAAAUGGUCAUAAAGCAGAUAGCACUGGUCUGCUGCCUUAUUUCUAGCUGAUCAUGACCAAUAUAGAUGGACAUAACCUUGUAAAUUGUGGUGGGUUGCUAUGACUAGGCGCCACCUCAUCAGUUUUGCCUAUGUGUCAUGUCCAUGUGGCAGUUUUUGCCCUAGGUUGUGAAGCAACCUAUAUUUCUGUCAUUCCCAAAAUUCCCAAAAAAUCUCAUAAAUUCUUUGGGUCAUAUCUUCAUCAAAUAUGUAAAAAUCCUUCCUUGCCUAGUUCAAAACUAAUUCAACAAUAUUCAUUUUCCAAUUCUGUUCACGACAGAAGUUUAUGAAGGAAGUGCUAUUUAUAUAUUCUUGAUUGCCCUCGGAAUUUUUGGGCACUCUUUCCUAUCCAAAUCAUUACCACAUGACAAAAUUCAGCUCCACUUGCCUAGCAAAUCUUCCUCGGCAAAUUUCCAAAGUUUUGUCCACCUAGAAGCAUUGUGAAGGAAGUACCUUUUUUAUAUAUCGAAAUGACAUGAAAUUUAUACAGUUCCUUCAUAUGCCCAAAUUAUCAACCUCCUCCAAAUUGCAGCUCAGUCAAAUCAUCUAUGUGAGCCCAGGUUCAAUUUAUAUUUUAUGGCCAAAUUGGCACGUUGCAAAGCAAGUGUUAUCUAGACCCCUCCUAUUAUCCUCAAACUUUUCGGGCACUCUUCCAUACCCAAAUCAUUGCCACAUGAUAAUAUUCAGCUCAAUUUUCGUAGUAAAUCUUUCUCAAGAAAUUUUCAAAGUUUCUACCUCGAGAGAAGCUUUGUGAAGUAAGUACUAGCUAGGCUUACCCAAAUGACCUGAAAAUUUACCAGCGCAUGACCAUACCUAUGUAACUUACCUACACCAAUUUUUAGCUCAUUUCAUUCAUCCAAUCUCUCUCACUAGUUUUCCCAAGUUUUUGUCCAUAGAAGAGAAUUGUGAAGGAAGUACCACUUUGGCAUUUCCAAAUAGUAUCCAUUUUCUACAGUGGUUUCCUAUGCCCAAAUAACCAUCCUCCACCUAAUGCCAACUCAAUCCGUUCAUUAUUUUGAGCCGAGCUUCAACAUUCGUAGUUAUGUCCAGUGUGGUAGUUCGCAAAGCAAGUACCACCUAGGCUCCUCCUUUUGAGCUGAAAAUUUGUGAAGACGGUCUUCUUAGUAACUGGUCAUCCUCAGCCAAAACUCACGCCCAUUAGCCAUGUAGAUUUCCCGUACCGCUAAUCAAACACUUGGUUGUUAAUUCAUGCUUGAGCAUCGAUCGGUCUCCUCGUGAGAAUCUUAUGUUGUAAUUUUCUUCCUAGCACCAACCUGGGGAGUGCCCAACCCAUUAGACAUGCCUAGGCCACCCAGAACGCAUGGCAACACCACGGUCACGCGGUGACCACGCGGCGGGCAUGCGAGUUUACGCGCUCUAGAGUUGGGGCCCUCGGCCACUGCCCAAACCUCUACGUAUCGCCACCAAACCAUGUAUUUAUGAUUAAAUAGGUCCUUAUGUAACUAGAAAUGAUUUUUGGAAAAAAUAAAUAGCAAACUAUGAGGCAGCUGCAGUUCAAAUUUGACCCGCUUCCUACUGAAUUGGUGGAAAUUUGUCUUUUUCAUGAGAGGUGGAUCAAAAAAAUUUACACCCAACCAUUUUUUCAAUUGUGCAUUAAAUAUGGCCUAGUAUUUUAUAAAAAUGAUUUGGUCCAAUUUUGCAACAAUUAUUUGGUAGUUCCUUCACAAAAACCUCCUUUUGGGCACUUGAAAAAUGGAAAAUGUUUUUUCGUCCAACAAAAAUGAAAACUUCCUUAGGCAACAUUGUUUGCCAUUCCAAUAUGCACCCUUGUGCACAAUAUGAGAUCAUUUGAACAAACUAUGCCAUGAAUGUGGCCAUAAGAUUGAUCAUUUGGCUUGAAAGCCAUUGACCUUCACACAUGAUAGCUCAUUUCUGAGAACACUUUUUUAAAAUAAUUAUUGUAUUACAAGUUUAUUAUUUUUCCCGGAAACUCAAUCACAUAUAAUGAGACAAUGCGAAGGUUUUACAAUUUUUUGAUUUUUUUUGAAUUUUUUAUGCCCGUUUCAAAAUGUGGUCAAAACGACAGGCUUGACCGUUCCUAGGUAGCGGUUGAAUCUUAGAAUUUUUUUGCUGUUUCUCUGAUUAAAUAGAUACUUAUGUACCUAUAAAUGAAUUUUGGAAAAAAUAAAGAGCAAACUACAAGGUAGCUACAGUUCAAAUUUGACCCGCUUCCAGCUGAAUCAGCGGGAAUUUGUCUUUUUCACCAGAGGUGGAUAAAAACUUUUUACAACCAACCAUUUUGUUAAUUGUGCAUUAAAUAUGGCCUAGUAUUUUAGAAAAAUGAUUUGGUCCAAUUUUGCAACAAAUAUUUGGGAGGUCCUUCACAAAAAAAACU
This 50128-nucleotide long non-coding RNA is filed under the name Triticum aestivum (bread wheat). RNAcentral describes it as "long non-coding RNA (TAES_LNC005589)". The record is from RNAcentral. Lineage: Eukaryota; Viridiplantae; Streptophyta; Magnoliopsida; Poales; Poaceae.